CCAUAUUUGAUCACUUUAAUUGGACUUAACCUUAUUUGAUAGUUUGCAACCCAUAAUUAUUCACAUAUAAGUCCAACGUUGGAUUAAGGAUCCAACAUACUGCUCUUUGCAAAUGUUUUGCAUGCAAGACUUGCAUGAUUUCCAUUCUCCAUGGGGAAUCCAGAUAAGUUCUGUUGAUGCAAAAACUGCUUAAAUAAGCCGAUGGUGGGAGUCACAUGCAGCUAAAGGAUUGUAAAUGCACAACUACCGAAUUGAUUAUUAAGAAUUUGGUUAAUUGGCAAUCAAUGAUCUUUCACAAAAUUUACCAUUCCAGUUUAGUGAUCAUCAUCCUUGAAUUUCUUGUUGAGAUUUGAAAAGUCAUUAAUCCAAGGUUAAUGAAGAUUUGUUCAUGAGAAAUUAGCUAGUUAUCAACAAUAGUAUCAAUAAAAGCAAACAAACCUGUGGUAUUGGAAUCAAAAUUCUUUAUCACCACAACAGAACAACGCGUACAUCCAAUAAUCAUGACUGGAAAAAAAAACCCAAAUAGUUGAGAAACUAAACAAAUUUGUACUUACUUAGGGCUGAUAUGUUGACUUGGGACAAAAUUUGUUUUCUCUGAUUCAGUCCUGUAGUUCCCAAGGAACGUGUGUAUAUGGCGACUACAAUCCUGCAGUUUCUGCAGAGUUUGGAAUUUUUAACUUUUAAACAUUAGUCUCUUUUGUUUCGAACACAACGGUGAGAAAAAAAAAAAGGAACUCUGGAUAUUGAUGGAAUCAUGUGUAACGAAGUCCAAUAAUUUGUCAUUUUGUGUCUCUAUAAUAUAAGCAUACAUAGACAUAUUUUAAAUAAAAGGCAUUUCUUAAGAAGAGUUGAUAUCGAGGUGCUAAACCUUUGCGUCGACGUAAGAUCUUGGCAAUUUUCAUGAUUCUUAAAAUUAUGUAGCUUGAAUAUUUUUGCUACGUUUCACAUAUCUUGUUCCUAACGUGGCAUUGUCAAGCAAUGCACUUGAUUGCAUUUAACUUCGUCAAGAAAGCUAAUAAAAUUUACAAAAUUUUCAUCACAUAAGCUACACUAGUCACUACUCUUAUUUUUUAAACUGAUUUCUAUAAAAGAGAAGGAGGUUUAGCACCUCUUUGUAACAAAAACCUCAAUUAGGGUCAGUGGUGGGGCCACAUGCAAGCAAAUGGGGUUAAUUGACGCCACUUAAUUUUGGAAAAUUAGUUUUUAGGUUUAGGUAAUUUAGAAAAUUUUGAAGUUGCAUCUUAUAUGACCCCACUAAAUUUUAUCAAAUUCUCUUUUCUAUCUACAUUGACCACAAGCAAUUGAAAUUUCAUAAUUCUUAUCAUCACAAUAAUUUUGAAUUUAUUUCAAAUUAUUUAUGGAAGUUAGUUCAAGAAUAAAUUCAUCCAAAGUUUCCAAAAAUAAGGGGUGGAAUUUUUUGAGUGGAGUGAGAAAACCAAUUUUUCAAACUUCAAAAUUUCUAAAAUCAAGAACUUUUUAAGUGGAUGGUAAAUUUUUUAUUUAUAAUACGAAAUUAAAUUAUUAUGAUUUUUAUUUAUAACACGAUAAAUAUAAAUUUCUUAAAAGAAACUCGUAGAAGAUCAAGUUGACAAAAUCAAGAGAUUCAUCUAGUUACAUUGAAAAAGAUGUAUUUAAAAAAUUGCCAAUGAAUUGAUUUUGCGGCAUUUAAAAAAAAUGAGUACUUGUAUGGUACAAUUUUAACUUGUAUGUAAAGUUAAUAGUUUUCUAAAAUUUGACCCCAUUUAAUGUGGGGUCUUAGCUCCGCCCCUGAUUAGGGUACAGUAUUUUAGGCCUUGUUUAAUAACCCAGUUUAGCACUUAAAGUUAAGGGAUUCAGAUCUUAAUAUAUUCAGACUGUUUGAUAACCAAAAAUUAAACAUCUAAAUUAAUUAACUAGCACUGAAUUUUCUAGGCAAAACCUGCUCCCAAAAUUAAGUGAUAAACUAUUCACUUAUCAUAAAUGUGAUAUACAUUCAAAUGUAUUAGAUUUAAUACUUAACAAUUCAAUAACUUAAUGAAUUCAGAUUUUAGAUUUCAUAUUUCAAAUUUCAGUUUUCAAACUUCAGUUUUAUUAAACUCAAAAAUUCCUGAUUGAACUAAAAUCCAAAAACAAUAAUCGCUCCCCUCUAGCUGUCGAUGACUAAAUGUGGACAUAUCUCUCUGUGUGUAUAUAUAAACAAGGCUAAAGUCCGAAGAAUAGGCGAUGGUAGCUUUCAAGUUUCAACCACUCAAAAUUCCUCAUUGAACUAAAAUCUACAACAACAGAAAAAAAAAUAUCGGUCCCCUCUUGCAGAUUCAAAUAACAAACUUUUCCAUCUAUCUAUACAAAAUUGGAUUCUAAAUCCACUCUCUAUUGUAUUGAGACCAAAAUCAACAGUCCAUUACUUAAUUAACUCCCAAAAAUUCGUUUGAGGCCCUAAUAUAAACAUCACAAAAUAGCGUAUUUUAAACCUCUUGACAAUAGUAAGAGCGAAUUGUCUUAAAUUUGGAUGAUGGAAAAAUUAUGGCAAAAUUAAAAAGAGUAAUAAAAAGCAAAUUAAAUCACAAAAAUAGCAAUCAUGUUCGAAACUUCCUAGUGAAACAUUACCGGAAAAGAUUAUUGUUUUCUGAUAAAAGGUAGAGAAGCAAACCAGCUGUACAGAAGUCAUAAAAGAAAACAGCUAAGUUUAACAAAUAAUACAAUAGGAUAUGCAACCAACAAUUAUAAAUAACUAUUUUAUAUCACAUACAUUACAUCGAAACAAAUAUACGGACACUGGAACCCAAACUCACAAACUCACAUCGAAAAAACUAUACACAUACUUCUCACAACUCACAAACCCAAACUAUUGGAACACGGAUAUUGUUCAUUUUUUACUGCUAACGUCAUCCAUAUCAAGUGCAAAUUUUGGAUCGGACUCCUGAUUUAUUUUAUUUGGGAAUCGUUGCAAUUAAAGCCUGAUCAGUUCCUAUUAAUUAAAGGCGCUCUCUCUACUCUGAACCCAGCCCUUAUCUUUGCUCUUUCUACUUUCAACCUUCUCUCCGCCGGGAUUCCUCCAUAGAAUGGAGAUCUUGGUCUCAAGUCAAGGUCUUCCUUUCUCUUUCUCUGUUUUUGUUUUAGGUUUAAUAAAAUCUUUCUUAGAAUAUUCUAAUGAGAGUUUUGUCUCUUCUAAUGUUUUACUAGUGAGAGUUUUCAUAUCUCACAGGUUAUUCUAGCUGGAAUUUUGUUUAGUUUUUGUUAUUUUUCUCUUAGAUCUAAGAGUUUUUUUCAAAUCUAUAUAUUAGAUAUGGAUUUCUUGAAUCUUUUUGUCCGAUCUCAACAUUAGUUUUGAAUUUGAACCAAUUUGGUAGAAGAUCUAAGGGAAUAGAUGGGUGUAGACAUUUAUGGAGCAGCUCUGUAAUUGAUUAGAUAUGAUAAUUUGUAAUUCAUAGUGUAAUCUUUUAUAUUUUAUAACUUUGAUAAAUUUAAUGAUUUUUUAUAUCACAUAUAUUUGCUAUAUGUUCUAUGUAUUUUCUACCAUUUGUGCAGUUUUAUUUAUCAAACAAAUCGUGUUGGACGAUUUUUAGCUAGUUUAUUAAUAAUAUUGGCUUAUUUUUUUAUCAGAAAAGUUCCUAUUAAUUAAUGAACAACUGCCUUACUAAAAAAAAAAUAGGUACCUUGGUUCGGCUGCUUUUCUUUUCCCUUUGUUGUUAGAGUGUAUGUGAAUGUAUUUUGUUUGCACAGUGAAUUAUUUGUCAAAAUUUACAUCAUUAACACAUUUUUUAACCACCUUUUUAUCUCAUAUACAUCACAUCAAUAAAUUGUUAUAGUAUUUUUAAAAAAAAAAAUUAUUCCAAAUAAUCUACUAUCCAAACUUACUUCUUUGAGUUGAUGAAUGUCAUCACAUAAUCCAAUUUUAUAAAUAAAAAAUGAUUUGUUAGUAAAAAUAAAAAUAUUAUUAGUUAAUAAAACUAAAAUUAUUUAUACCUAAAAUGUAACAUAUAUUAUUAACUAACAAAUAACCUAAUAUUUGACAGGCAUAUAGAAAAUAGAAAUGUAUGGAAUAGUAAACUCGACGCCUACAAUUUUUGUGUUUCUUACUACAGUGUAAGUACUUCGGAGUGGGAAUGAGUUUUCCUUAGACUUUUCCAAAUUUACGUUAUUAAAAAGUUAAUUUUAAUAUUAUUAAGUCAUAUAUGUCUAAAUCAAUUAUUUAUAGAAUGUCUUCUUAUUUAGUAGUGUAGUAGUAAAUCAACUCUAAGUAGGGGAGGGAUGAGUUAGGUGGUACGGAGUAUACCCCCGCCCCAUCCCCCGCCCUGCCACCCGCAAAACCAAAAAAAAUAUAUAUAUAUAUAUAUAUAUAUAUAUAUAUAAUAUGUAAGUUAAUUAGUUAUAAACUUAUGAUAAUGAUAUUAUUAGUUAGAUGUAUUAUAUAAUGUAUAUUAGUUUAUGUAAUAUAAUUGAUAUUAUCAAUUAUAUGAAUAAUUAUACAUGUCUACUAAUAGAAUUUAUUAAUUAGUUAUACUAAAUUUACUAAUACUUUUAUACUAAAUUUCUAAUUACACUUAAUAGAAUAACACCUUUUUCUCAAAAAAAAGCACAAACACAAUAAAGAAUUAGUGAUUGCAUUUGUACUAAAAGUGAAAACUUAACUAUUUUAGUUAUAUUUAUUUCAUCAUAUUGGAUUGUAUUCAAAUAACUUCUAUUUGAUUGUUUUUAUGAGUUUCAAUUGUAAAAUUACAAUGAAUAAUAAUUUGGUGAUGUGUUGAUAUUUUAGUACUUGAUUAUUUAUUAAAAUUUAAUUAUAAUAAAAUUUUAUUAACCCCGCGGGGGCACCCGCGGGGGAAGCGGGGCGGGGCGGGGGGAGCAGGAGGCGGGGGACGGGGGGAACUAAUAGGCAACGGGGCGGGGGGCGGGGGACCACUCCCCCGCCCCAACCCCGCUGACAAGGGUUUAUUUUACGUAUUUUCAGUGUGUUUUAUUAGUUAAUUUUGGUUUGAUUAUUUAGUUUUAUAACUAAAAUAACUAAGGUUUUGGUAAAAAACUACAUUUUAUGUUAAAAUGGCUAAACAUUGCAUUUUAUGGAUUUUUAUGGUAAAAACUUCAUAUUUUGUAGGUUUAAUGAUUCAAUCAUCAAUGAAGUGCAUUGAGAAGAUAUUUGGAUGAUUGAAGAUGGAUUAAAGUGGGGAAAAUAAAAUAUGAAGUGUAAAAGGAAGAAAUGCAAUUUGAGGACAAAAUCAAGAAAAGUCAGCUUUGACAACUUAGAUACAUUUUCGUAUUUUGACUAUAUCAGGAGCUACAAUGAUCGGAUCAAGGUGAUCUUGGUACCAUUUUGAAGCUAAGAGAUAUAUCUACAUUUGGUAUGAAGACAUCAAAGUCCAAUUCAGCCGUUUUCUUGGUCAAAAGGUCGAAACACAAAAACUUAUCUGGAUGGUCGAAAGCUGAAGCCCAGAAUUGACCAGUCUAUGGUAUUUUGACCAUAUCUCCGUCCACCGAUCUCCAAAUUAGAUGAUUCUUGAAGCAUUGGAACUCUAAUUCAAAGGGCUACAACUUUUGUGUUUUGCACAAAAGCCAGUUCGGCCUUCAUCAUGGAGAAAAAUGCAGUUGAAGUGAGGUCAAAAGUAAAAACGUGUCUGGCAGCCGAAUUUCUGUAAUUUGCUCAGCCAUUUUUCUCAUCUUCACACUACUUUCCAGCUAGAGUUGGAGAGAAAACGUAGGCUGCACAUGCUUCAGAAGACAUAAGGAAGAGAUAUAGCCAAAGUUCCAAAUCAAAAGCCAUUAUUUUUGACUCCCUUAACAAAUUCAGAUUUGGAGAAUCAUAGCAGAAAUUUUUGACUGGUAAGGGAAGGACUUUUCAUCAGCUUAUAUGCAGAGACAUUUGAGGUCUAGGAAACAGAUACGGGAGAAGCUUGAAGAGUGCAGAAAUGUAGUUCUUCCAUUUCCUUAGUGUAGGAUAGUGUAGUAAGUGUAGUUCAUCCAUUCUUGUAUAAUGGCUAGAUUAGGAUGAAAAUGGAGAUGAAGAAAGAGAAGUUGAAGCUCAAGUGACAUGGGUUAUCUCUUCUCCAACUCUUUAUCUUUUGUAUUGGAUUCUUAAAUAUAGUUAAUAUGCAAGUUCUGGAAUUUAUGUCUACUAUGUGUUUCUAAAGUUUAUGCCUUGGGUUUGGUUGAACUUUCUAUGAUUGUUAGUGUUUAUCAUUUGGCUAUUUAACUGCUAUGAUUUGAGCAAGUUAUUUAGCACUUUAGCUCUUUAAAUCAUGAUUAAUCUGGUACCAUUAAUUGUGAUUAUCUAAGGUGUUGUUUCUGCAAUGAAAAUUGAGAUUUAACAUUGGUUCAAGAAGUGCUAAACAUAGGGAGUACACUCACGAAAGUAGAGGUGCACCUAUGUGGUUUUUAGUGAUUCAUUUCAUGUAAUUUCACUGAAGAAAUGAACUUGUAGCUAAUUUCAUAACCAUGAGAAUAGGUAUGGAUUAGUUAUAAGUAUAAUUGAUUCACUACGAAAGUAGGAUUCAAAUGCAUAAGGAAAUUACACCAUAAUUAGCCUAGAUGUAGUAAUUAAUGAUCUAAAUAUAACACUUGCAUGAGUAGCUAGGGAUACCACAACCCAAGGAGCUUUCAUUUGUUAUUUUGUAUAAUUUCAGUAGGAUAAAUUUAUUAUGAUUCAUUGAUAGUCUAAAUAAUAGAGAAACUUUAGUAAUACCGGUAAUUGUUCACUCUUCCCUGUGGGAUCGACCCGAUAUAUACCCUAAACUACUAGUUGAUCUGUAUACUUGCAGUGAACGGGUGUAAUUCGGUAUUUUUUAGCUUGCACGUAUGUAAAAUACCCGUCAAGUUUUUGGCGCCGUUGCCGGGGAAGAUUUGGCAAUAUCGGUGUGAAGAGCAACUUUAUUAAUUUAGACAAUUUUUCUUAUUUUUGUUGUUUUUGUUGUAUCUUGUGUGUUUUAUGUCAUUUUUUUGAGUCAAUUUUUAGUAUUAUUAUUUUUUUUUUUCUGUUUUAGUUUGUGUCUUGGAAUCUAUCCUUCUUAACUAAUCUUGCUCUUAAGUUGUUUAAAAGCAAUUUUAGGUGAUGAGAAUGAUAGGUCAAUUUGGAGGACAAUGCUUGAGAAAUGGAAGAUUGGCAAUGGAUGGUUACCAAGUGCAAAGCUCCUUCAACAGAGGUAACCAAGAAUUUACUGAUUGUAUGUCUUUUGAAGAUGGUUUAAGGUGCUUAAAGGCAAAAUUUGAUGUUAUGAUGGACACAAUUAUGCAUGAAAUUGAGCAAGGGAGGAAUGUUAAUGAUUUUAAUUCUUAUCAUGUGAUUUGUGACUUGUGUGGAGGUUAUCAUGCUACUAAUACAUGUAUGCAAGCACAAAAUGUGGAUUAUUAUGAUGAAUUAGAGCAUUACAAUCCUUGUUUUGAUCAAUAUAGUGCUAAUUGGAACAAUUCUCCUGUGUGUGGUUGGGAUAAUCAAUGUACUUAUAAUAAUUCCUCAUAUUUUUACGAUUACCAACCUGAAUGUAUCCAAUAUGAAUCAAAACCAUCUUGGGAGUUGGCAAUUGAAAUGGUAGCUAAUGAUUCUAAGCUAUCUUGGGAGUUAGCUUUAGAAAAAUUAGCUAAUGCAACUUCCAACCGUUUUGAUAGGGUUGAAGAAAGAAUAGAUGAACUGACUUCUCACUUUAGUAGAAUACAAGAGAAAUUGAAUGCAUUGUGUGAAGUUAUUUCCUCUAAAAAUUUGCAAAAUGAUCCUAGCAUGAAUGGUAGGAAUGUUGUAUGUGAAAAUGGAUUAUAUUUGGAUGAAAAUGAUGAAUUUCAAUUGUGUUUUAAUGAGCAAAUAUCCAUUUCACAUGAUAAUAUCUUUGGAACUAACUUUGAGCCUCAAGAGGUGAGUUUUAAUGACUCAUUUUUCACCCCUCUUGAGGAGUGCAUUGGAAGUAUAGGUUCUAAGGGUAUUGCUGCCCAGGAUACUCUCAUGACAUUUCCGUUGGUAAGUUCUCAAGUGGUGCAUAUUCAAGGUAAUAUUUAUGAAACACUUGGGAUAGGUAAGUCAAUUCCAUUUCUCCUAUCAUUAGAUCAUGCGACUUUUGCUAUAAAUUCACCAUUUAAUGAUCCACCACGACCAAAAAUGGUGGAUUAUUCUUUAACUAAGCCUCCUUGAAAAAUGAGGUGAAAUAGUCAAGCUAUUGACUUUAAAGAAGCGCUUAUUGGGAGGCAACCCAAUGUUUGUUUAAGUUUAUGUUAUUUUGGGGUGAUUUUAUGUUUAAAGUAUAUGUUUGAGUUAUUUUGUUAUUUUUCAUUUGUAGGUAUUGGAAAUGGAAGCAAAAGUGACCAAAUGAGGUGAAAAAGGCGAAAUUUGAUCAAGGAACUCAAACCCUCAAUUUGAGUAAUUGUUGUUUUUGAUUUGUUAGAAGGGGUUAAAAUGCAUAUUUUGAUCAUUUUACAUGUGCAUGCAUUGAGAAUUUUAGCAAACAAAUGAUCUAUGAUGCAUUUUGAGUGAUUGGGGUACAAAUGGUAAUUUUUCAAAAUUGGCUUUCUGCAAAAAAUUUCGCAGAAGAAAACGCACUUGGGCUGAAAACGCGCCUUAGAAUCGCGUUUUCCAUAAUCGCGUUUUAAAUUCUGCGCCUAUACUGAAUAAAACGCGACUUAAAAACGUGACAGAAAGUCGCGUUUUCUACAAAGUCGCGUUUUCCAGCCUGUUCAGAAACCAAAAACGCGACUUCAAAUACGCGGCUCAAAGUCGCGUUUUUAAGCAUAGUCGCGUUUUCGAUCCUGCAAGAUAUGUGAAGAAACGCGACUUCAUAAAACGCGGCUUGGUGGCGCGUUUUGAUGAGUCGCGUUUUCGGAGAAAAAAAAAAUGCAGAUUCCUUGAUUCUCUUUUUUCUUCUUUUCCUCAUAUAUUUUCUUGUACCUUGAGUUGCUUAUUGUAUAUUGUAUAUAGGUACAUCACCAAAACAAAGGUUUGAAAUUACGGAUCGCCGUUUUGUUUUAUUAAGCCUUUGUUAUCACUUUUGUUUCUUAUUUUCUAUGUUUCGAUUAUUAUUACUAAUGGUUAUUCAAUGGAACUUAUGAAGCGUUGGAGAUAAACGGACAAUGGAUUUUGAAGCUUCAUAUUCAAUCACAUCAUAGGGGAGUAUUACUUUCUUUAUCUUGAUUUUCCUUUUUACACAUUGAGGACAAUGUGUAUGUUAAGUGUGGGGGGAGAAUUGAGAUUAUAUAUAUUGUAUGUGAUUGAAUUAUUAGUUGCAAAUAUUGGACUUGUGUUAAAAUUCAAAAUUUUUCUACAAUCUUGUCCAAAAUUGCAAACUUGCCCCAAAAAGUUUCAAUUUUUUCGAUUUUAUCCAAAGGGGUAACAAGUUUCAUACCAUUAGUAGUUCAAAUUCCUUCUACAUUUGAGAUAAAUAUAUAUGAUUUGGAAACUUCUUUUCUUAUUUAACUUGGAAAUGACUAUUAUGUGAUUAUAAUUUUGCAUUUGUAGGAAAAUAUAUCUUGUGAAGUGGAGAAAAUUAUGCCUAUAUUUUUUUUUGCAUAUUUGAUGAAAUUUCUUCUCUUUAUUGGAUUUUAUAAGUUAAGUGAUAAAUAUGGUCAAUAAGUGCAAUACUCUUCUCAUGAUUAUUUUUUUAGAAAAUUAUUAUUCUCUUUGCUAUAAAAAAAAAUGAAAAAAAAAUGAUGAAAAAUGAAAAAAAUGAAGAAAAAGAGAAAAACAAAAAACAAAAGAAAAAAGAAAAAAAAUAAAAAUUCUUCUACUCCAAUGAUUCUUGUACUUAGUAACUGGGAGUCUUCAUCUACAAAUGUCGACUUUCGCGUAAAACGGUACUUGAAUUAAGAGUAUGCAAAGCAACUUGAGUAUGUGAAGUGUUGAGUAACCGGUGAUCUUCAUCUAAAAAUGUCGAUCCUCGCGUCAAAAGGCAUUCUCACGUCUUAAGUAAUAUUUAGAUAUGUAAUAUUAAUAAAUAUCUUUUUAAACAGAAUUAAAAGAUGAUCAUGAGUUUAGGAAGCAUUAUUAUUGACCAUAUGAGUUGCUUGCUUGUGAAAUCAGGUAAGGAUGAAAAAUCGAUUUGAAUUUGUUAUAAUGAUGGUAUAAUUGGCUCUCCUUUACUUGAUAUUAUGAGCACUUGAACUUAAUUGAAUAAUUGCAUAAUGGUUAUUUACUUUGUUUUGAGGAAAUGAAGUUGAAAUGCUACAUAUGUUUAUUUUCAAAUUUUGGAUCAUUGUUGGUUUGUAUUUUUAUUGCUUGAGGACAAGCAAUGGUUCAAGUGUGGGGGUAUUUGACAAGGGUUUAUUUUACGUAUUUUUAGUGUGUUUUAUUAGUUAAUUUUGGUUUGAUUAUUUAGUUUUAUAACUAAAAUAACUAAGGUUUUGGUAAAAAACUACAUUUUAUGUUAAAAUGGCUAAACAUUGCAUUUUAUGGAUUUUUAUGGUAAAAACUUCAUAUUUUGUAGGUUUAAUGAUUCAAUCAUCAAAUGAAGUGCAUUGAGAAGAUAUUUGGAUGAUUGAAGAUGGAUUAAAGUGGGGAAAAUAAAAUAUGAAGUGUAAAAGGAAGAAAUGCAAUUUGAGGACAAAAAUCAAGAAAAGUCAGCUUUGACAACUCAGACACAUUUUCGUAUUUUGACUAUAUCAGGAGCUACAAUGAUCGGAUCAAGGUGAUCUUGGUACCAUUUUGAAGCUAAGAGAUAUAUCUACAUUUGGUAUGAAGACAUCAAAGUCCAAUUCAGCCGUUUUCUUGGUCAAAAGGUCGAAACACAGAAACUUAUCUGGAUGGUCGAAAGCUGAAGCCCAGAAUUGACCAGUCUAUGGUAUUUUGACCAUAUCUCCGUCCACCGAUCUCCAAAUUAGAUGAUUCUUGAAGCAUUGGAACUCUAAUUCAAAGGGCUACAACUUUUGUGUUUUGCACAAAAGCCAGUUCGGCCUUCAUCAUGGAGAAAAAUGCAGUUGAAGUGAGGUCAAAAGUAAAAACGUGUCUGGCAGCCGAAUUUCUGUAAUUUGCUCAGCCAUUUUUCUCAUCUUCACACUACUUUCCAGCUAGAGUUGGAGAGAAAACGUAGGCUGCACAUGCUUCAGAAGACAUAAGGAAGAGAUAUAGCCAAAGUUCCAAGUCAAAAGCCAUUAUUUUUGACUCCCUUAACAAAUUCAGAUUUGGAGAAUCAUAGCAGAAAUUUUUGACUGGUAAGGGAAGGACUUUUCAUCAGCUUAUAUGCAGAGACAUUUGAGGUCUAGGAAACAGAUACGGGAGAAGCUUGAAGAGUGCAGAAAUGUAGUUCUUCCAUUUCCUUAGUGUAGGAUAGUGUAGUAAGUGUAGUUCAUCCAUUCUUGUAUAAUGGCUAGAUUAGGAUGAAAAUGGAGAUGAAGAAAGAGAAGUUGAAGCUCAAGUGACAUGGGUUAUCUCUUCUCCAACUCUUUAUCUUUUGUAUUGGAUUCUUAAAUAUAGUUAAUAUGCAAGUUCUGGAAUUUAUGUUAUAUGUGUUUCUAAAGUUUAUGCCUUGGGUUUGGUUGAACUUUCUAUGAUUGUUAGUGUUUAUCAUUUGGCUAUUUAACUGCUAUGAUUUGAGCAAGUUAUUUAGCACUUUAGCUCUUUAAAUCAUGAUUAAUCUGGUACCAUUAAUUGUGAUUAUCUAAGGUGUUGUUUCUGCAAUGAAAAUUGAGAUUUAACAUUAGUUCAAGAAGUGCUAAACAUAGGGAGUACACUCACGAAAGUAGAGGUGCACCUAUGUGGUUUUUAGUGAUUCAUUUCAUGUAAUUUCACUGAAGAAAUGAACUUGUAGCUAAUUUCAUAACCAUGAGAAUAGGUAUGGAUUAGUUAUAAGUAUAAUUGAUUCACUACGAAAGUAGGAUUCAAAUGCAUAAGGAAAUUACACCAUAAUUAGCCUAGAUGUAGUAAUUAAUGAUCUAAAUAUAACACUUGCAUGAGUAGCUAGGGAUACCACAACCCAAGGAGCUUUCAUUUGUUAUUUUGUAUAAUUUCAGUAGGAUAAAUUUAUUAUGAUUCAUUGAUAGUCUAAAUAAUAGAGAAACUUUAGUAAUACCGGUAAUUGUUCACUCUUCCCUGUGGGAUCGACCCGAUAUAUACCCUAAACUACUAGUUGAUCUGUAUACUUGCAGUGAACGGGUGUAAUUCGGUAUUUUUUAGCUUGCACGUAUGUAAAAUACCCGUCACCCGCCCCGUUGCCAUCCCUACCCCGAACCUAUUGGAUGGUAACACUUUAGGACUUUACCACCAUGUUUCGUACUUUUAAUUUUGACAACUCAUAUGCAUAGUUUUCUUUUCAAAUUACCCCUAAUUUCUCAAUAGUCAACUUUUAUACCGUUGUAUUUUCUAUUAUAUAUUCACUAUAAUAUUCUACUAUUACAUGCUAUGAUAUUAGAUUAUAGUAUAAAUUAAAUAAAAAAAAUUCCACCAAUCGCCGCCUUAUACUCGUCCUUUUUCAGGACCAUGUGGGCACUUUCAUUGUGACCACUAUUAUUUUUUAUUUGACAUAAUUUUUUAAAAUAUAUAUAUAUAACAUCAAUAACAAUCAUAAUUAUCAGUCUUUUGAAUAUUUGGCCAAAAAUAACAAAUGUAUUUCAGUCAUUUUUUCACAUUUGAAAUUAUGCAAAUCUAAAUCAAUGUCUAUGGAUUUUUUUACAAACAAUAUUCAAGAUGUGACAAAUAAAAAAUCAAGCAAAUUGACAUAACAAAAUCAUAGUUUUACUACAAAACAUAAAUAAUUGCCAAGAAAGGGUACAUUAUUUUAUCACAACAAAAUGCUAUUUUGUUAGUUUUAAAUUACAGUUUCUACAUACAUAUUACUACUAAUACAUUAUAUAAUAGGUGAAGGCAGAGCGAAUAGAGUUCUAUUUAAACUGAUGCUAAAUUAUACACAAGUCUACACAAUAAGUUAGUUAAACUGAUGUCCAACAUCACAUCAUGCAAUAGUAGAAUUUUUUGAUGAAUAUAUAAUAAGAGAAUGCAACAAGUUAAAAGCUGACUACUAAGAAAAUAAGAAGGUUGGGUAUAAUUUGGAAAGCAAAAUAUGUACAUGAGCUUGUCAAAAUUAAAAGUACAAAUAUAAUUCAUUUGGGGGUAAAAUAUAUAUUUUUAAAAUUUAGGGUGGUGAAGUGCUACCACCCCGUAAAUUCAGGGGAACGAGGUGUUAUUAACCAAAAGGUGCACUUCAUGCAUCAAUGUUUGGACAUGUAAGCAAAAAGAUGGCCAUUGGCCAAAAAAAACUGGCUGGGUAAAAAAUUAUGAAUGCAUAAAUUCGAUUCAUUGGAAAGUUGAGCAGUCGGAGGACAGCCAUGUGACACAAUGAUUGAACACUGUAUAGCCAAAAUUUUAAAAAAAAAUGCAAAAUGAUGGACGAAAAAGGGCAGCGAAAGGCAUGAUCAGAGAGCAAAAGUGCUUCUUACUGGACUAACCCCCUCUCUAUUGCAUUGGAAGCAAUAUCGAAGGGGCAGUUUUAUUUUAAAAUAUAAGGAAGGGGGCAAAGUGCCUAUUUAUUGAAUUGAGAAAAGUAAAGUAUAAUUGAGAGUAAAUUUUAGAACCGGUUAAUGCUUUUAACAUUAAAAUUAAUUUAAAAUUUAUUUUCAAAAAUCAACACCGCUCAUAAUAUAUUUUAUUCUUUGUGUUAAUUAGAAAGAGAAUUUUGUAUGAAAGUUAUCAAGUUUUAUCAUUUGAUUGAUCAGUACAAAUUUUGUCACGAUUUUGACCCAUUUUUACCAUUCAAAUGUUUUGUGUAAAUUAAAUUUCAAAAUAUUUUAAAAAAUAUCAUCUCUUAGUAUGUUGAUUUAAAAAUCAAAAGAAAAGCAAUGACACAAUUGCAUAAAUCAAUAAUAUUAUCUAAAUUUAAAUAUAAAUAAAUUAGAGAAACCAAUAGAGAGAAAUUUAAUGGAGAGGAUCCUAACACAUUGCUGUUAUGUACUUCCUUCGUCCCAAUGGAAGGGACGCUAUUCAAAAUUUUAGGUUGUGUUUAGAUUGCAAUUUUCUGGAGUUCUUGUAGAAAAUGUAUUAUAACGAUUUGAUACAUGUGCAGUAAAAAAGUGAUUGGGAAAUGUUUUCAUGAAAAACGUAUAGAUUUUUUUGGUAAAAAACCCAUUUCCAAAGAAGGCCUUAACUUUUUAAGCAAAGUAGAAGCAGAUUUGUAUUUGAGCUGUUUGUACCCUCUUUGCCCCCGUUCUUUUUUUUUUUACAGCAAUGAUAACAUUUUUAUACCCUAAUUUAAGGGGGAUGGGAGUCUAAAGAAACUAUGUAUAAGGGACUAGUAAAUAUAAGAACUUAUUAAACCAAAGAGGUGUUCUGACACCUCCGUUGAAUUUUUUUCAUUAUAGGUAGAGUUCGAAUCCCUGACCUACAACACAAAGAGGGACUUUAAUCUCUUUUUGAUGAGGGACUUUAAUCUCUUUUUGAUGGGUACUGUGAUUUGGCUCGGCGGUUCUCUUUGCCAGUGACAGAGCCAGGAUUUUUUUUUGGGGGGGCCAAAAUUUUUUCCUAAUAAAAUUAUCUUAAUAUAUUAUGUUCAAAAUAAUUUUCUUCUAUUUAAGUAUAUGACAUCUAAAAAUAUCAAAUAUUAAAUUUAAUUAUAAAGGUAUGUCUAUUCAUAAAUAUGCGGUAUAGUCAUAACAAAAAUUAACAAAAAAGAUAACUUUUGAUUAAAUAUUUUAUAACAUCACAAACCAUACAAUUUGCACAUUAUGAGAAGAUGCUCUCCAAUAUGUCACCUAUGCAAUAUAUAUAACCAUGUAAUAUAAAGGUAACUAUUUUCAAUUGAAAAAAGAUAAAAGUUAUGUUAACAUAAUUUGAAAUUUCAACAUCUUUUCUUAGAAGUAAAUUGAGCUCUACGCUCUUUCAUAGAACUAAAUUCAUCUAUAAUUGAAUCACUGCUAAAUUUUUUAGCAACUUCCUUUUCUAUAUACACAGUUAAACAAUCAUUCAAGAAAUUAUCUUCCAUCUUGUUUCGGAGCUUUGUCUUGAUUAUUUUCAUAAUUGAAAAUGCCUGCUCUGUAGUUGCAGUUGAUAUAGGAAGAGUAAGAACAAGUCUAAUAAAUCUGUCAAUAAGAGGAUAUAUCACUGAUUUUCUUGUCUUCACCAAGCCUUGACAUAACUCAUGAAUACCAGAUAAUUCUUGCAAUUCAUGAUGAUUUGGAAUGUCGAGAUCAAAAUAUUGAAAUUCUAUUCUUAGACGUACUAGUUCUUGCUUUUAACAAUUAUGAAUUGGGUCUUUUUAUUCUAAUACAUCACAUUGGGUCAAUUUACUAUGGAACAUCAAAUUAUAUGUUUAAUUUUUGAAAGUUAAAUAAUUAGUACAAUAAAAAAUAAAUAACUUUUUCUGAAGAAAAAAAGUAAUUCAAAGAUGACUAAUUCAUAUAUAUAUAUAUAUAUAUAUAUAUAUAUAUAUAUAUAUCUCAACUCUUAUAAUAUAAACUAAAAUUGUAAAAAUUUAGGGGAGGCCAAUUUUAUUUUACACACAUAUUUACAUAUUAUGAAUUAAAAUUUUCAAAACUUAGGGGCCAUGGCCCCCUCUGUCCCCCUUGGCUCCAUCAUUGCUCUUUGCCCCAUUGAUAAGUGAAAAAAUUCGUAGAAUCACGAAAGAAGAUGCCGUUGGUCUCCCGACAUUUUAAAUCCAUUUUAUGCACCGUAAGAACCACGCACCAAAGUUGACCACAUAUAUUUGUGGUGCCGUCACACACCAAUUCUUUCUUCCAAAUAUAUUUUUUCAUGGGUCCAAUAAUUCUUUUAUCAAUACCUUUAUUCUAACAAAUCAACAGCCUUUACCUUUGGUAAAAACUACCUACUACAGUUGGAUACGAAUUUUUUUAGUAUAAAGUGUCAUUAAACUCCUUUUAACUCCUUUAAGUCUUUUAGAUCAUGUCGUCUUAUUUAACAUGUUUUAAGAAGUUGAGUACCUCUUUUUGACAAAAAAAAUAUAUUUUAUUUUAAGGAGUCGAAUGAUUCUUUUUGACCAAAAAAUUUUUUAAAAAAAGUUUGAUCACCAAAUAGUAUCAUUUUAAAUAGUUUAGUCACCGUUUUUCAACCAAAAUGGAGGCCUUCACGUGGAAAAUCAACCCUUGCAUCAACGAAGGCUUAUUUAAGUUGUUAUGGCAUCAACGAAAUUUGUCUGGAAACUGGACUCCACAUGGAGAACGGAAAUCAUGCAAGUCUUGCAUGCAAAACACUUGUGGAGAGCAGUAAAUAUAUGGUGAAUAAUGGAAAUCACUACAAGAAAACUAAAGGAAAGCCUGAAUCACACCCCAUGGCUGGUGGAAAUGAUUCUAAGAGCUAAGCCUGAAACAUUUUUUUUUUCAUUUUUCAUUUUUCAUUUUCACAAAACCAUUCCAUCACAUACCACUCAAUUGACAUUGUGCAUGUGAAUUUUUGUGUCACACUUCCUAUAGAAAGGGGUGAUUGAAGCUGCAAAAUGUGAAAUUGUACAAGCAAUUAAGGAGAAGCUGGAAAACGACUGGCCAAAGACAUUUGUGAUUGCUGAUUAUGGAUGUUCCACUGGACCCAAUGCAUUCCUUGCAGUACAGAACAUUGUUGAAGCAGUGGAGCUAAAGAACAAAUCUCUGCAACAGAGCCCACCUCUCGACGUCCAUGUUUUCUUCAAUGAUCUUGUAGACAAUGAUUUCAAUACUCUCUUCAAAUCCCUCCCUUCACCCCGAAGAUAAUUUGCUGCAGCUGUACCUGGCUCCUUCUACAAGCGUUUAUUCCCUAAAGCUAGCCUUCAUUUGGCUAAUUCUUCUUAUGCACGCCAUUGGUUUCAAGGUUCCAGAAGAAGUUGGAGAUCAUAAUUCAUUAGCAUGGAACAAAAGCAAGACAUAUUGUUCGGGCACAAACAAAGAAGUCACAGAGGCAUAUUUUGCUCAGUUCCGGAAAGAUCUCAACAGGUUUCUGAAUGCUAGAGCAGAAGAACUUGUCAUAGGCGGCCUUUUGGUGAUUUAAUUACCCGGUGUUCCGAGCGGCACCCUUCCUUUUAAUACCGGUGCAGGCUUCCUCCAAGAGCUGUUAGGAUCAUGUCUUUUUGAGAUGGCCAACUUGGUAGGAUCUGACAAUUUCCAUCUUCAUUUUAAUUUGAUCUGUAAUGCAAGUAUUGGGGGUCACACUCAUCAGUUCAAAUGAUUUCUUCUGGCUUUGUGGCAGCUUGUUUAUGUAUGCUGCAGGGAUUUAUCAGUCUAGAAAAAGUGUAUUCAUUCAACUUGCCAAUGUACUUUCCAUCAAUUGAAGAAUUAGACCUGGUUAUAAAAGGGAAUGGUCAAUUUAAAGCAGAAAGAAUAAAGAUAUUGGAUCACCCAAUGCAGCACUUGCCUUUUGAUGCAAAAAUGACUUGCUUGCAGACCAGAUCUGUCUUUGAGGGCUUCAUCAAAGACCAUUUCGAAAUAGACAUUGUCGAUCAACUGUUCGAUCUAUUUGCUAAGAAACUUGAAGAAAGUUGCUCAAUCUUUGAUCAGGAAAUUCGCAAAGAUACUGACCGAUUUGUUCUGCUCAAACGCGUCUGUUGACGGAUUGUUGAUUGGUUGAUUUACUAUCUAAACUGAUAUGCACUUAUUUUUGUCUCAUAAAGUAUCACCAAAGUUAUGGUGACAUUUCUUUUCUCUCAACUGUUGAUUGUCUACAUACUUGAUCAUAUUCAUGAUAUUCAACUCUCACGUAGAGCUGAGAUUUUCUCAAGUCAAUUUUCUUUGCUGGAUUUGGGUUCUCAUUCUACUUGGCCAUUAUGCUUUGAUCUAAAAGACUAGAUUAUAGUUUUCUCAAAUAAAUGGCUCCUCGAGUCAAGUUUUCAGGAAAACCUACUCGUCAGCUGAUGUUUUGGCUCCUUUACAAUCUCAUCCUCAACAGUGAACGACAGCUAUUCUUAUAUAUCCUUGAGGGACUUACCAUGAGACAUUCGGGCGAAAGUUGCUUUAGAUUGUGUAGGUAUGUCUAGUUCAAAUUGAUUCGUGCAAGUCUUAAUCCAUCGGUGUAACACAUACAGUUUUGAUAUAAUGGUGAACUUUACACCAAAAUAGUUAUAUGAGUUGAUAAUUCAAAUUUGUACUCAAGUUAUAGGAAUUUAUAUCAGAAGUUAUAUAAGAAUUACAUCAACCAGUUUGAACGAGUCAGAAUUCAACUUGUCAGGCAUGUUUCCCUUAGUUAUCUGACUGCGCUAAUCUUUGUGAAGUAUAGACUAUAAAUUGCAUCUUCUGGACCGUUAGACAAUGAUUUAUGCUGUUUUAUGCUCCGGAAAUUUACUUGCUCCUUUUCUUCUCAGUCUUCAUAAACAGAGUUAGUAAUAAUGUAUUUGGUAACGUUUUUUUAUUUCUCUUUUUUGCUAUCUAAAUUUGGUCAAAGUCAUCCAAGACUGUAUGCUCAAAACUAAGCGAAACAUUUCAUCAAAAGUUGAUUAGUUGUAGCUUGUCCUGAAUUUCCAUUUUGAAUUUGCUAAGGGAAAUAUUAUUUGCACUCCAUUUUUUAUUAUUUAUACUCUCACUGUUUUUUUUAUCAUAUACUCUAGUAAAUGAAAAUUAUAUAAUUAAAAUAAUAAUGAAAAUGUGAUUAACAAAAAUAGGAGUGUAAAUAACAUUUUCCUUUUCUAAAUAUUUCUAGACAACGCUCCAAACUGACUGUCCUUCUCAAGAUCUUUCCUUGAACCUUGUGUUGACAGAAGUAAUUCUUAAAUGUCCACUUGGUUUGACCCCAUAAAUUGUGCCAUCAACACAAGUUGGCUUAGUUGGUAAGGACCUGUAAUUUCCUUAUAAAAGCUCAUUUAUUUGAAUUUCGUUGUCGAUGUGAGAACUGUGUUGAUGGACGAUCCGUAAAAACCUUUAUAAACGACAUGUGAUUCCGGAAGCAUACUUUGACGCAUGGUGUUGACUGAAGGCGAACUUACCCAAACUUUUUUUAAUCGAAAAAAAAAAUGUCUGCAUUACUUUCACCAGCCGCCUAGUGGCCUACUAAUGCCUGUAGUUACCCUUGAGGUGCCGGUCAAUUAAGUACAAUUACUAGUCCAGUGCGCGCUUUGCUCUAGAGGGCGUAGUUUUAAUUUUUAAAUGGAUUAUUAUCACUUUACCCCCUUAAACUAUAUCACUGCUAUCAGUUUAUCCCCUAACGUUAUCUUUUAAUCACUUUACCCCCAUAAGUAAUUCAACUCAACAUGUUAAGAAAUUUUAGACAAAAAUACCCUUUUAUUUUAUAGCAUUACUACAAUGUUAUUAUCAAUUUAUUUGUUUAGAUUAUAGUGAUACAAUCAUUUUAAUUCCUAACAUUAUUUUCUAGGCAUUUAUCUCAUUGUUAAUCUAACUAGUAUGGUAAAAAAUUUUAAAUAUAUUUACCCUUUUAUAUAUAAUUAAAAAUAAAAAAAUUGGAAUGGUUAUUCUUCUUUUUUUCACUUUGAGAGAUUGAAAAACAUAAAAAUAAAAGGGUUUUCUCAAAUUUCUUUUUUUCACACUUAUUAAUACUAGGAAAAGAAAAAAAGAUAGAAAAGAAGAAGAAAGAAAAUUAGAUUUUGCAAAGAAAGAAAAUAAAGAAAAGUCUAACAUUAUCGUAUUACAUUAAGGUUGUCGGGAUUAGGAUUGGAAUUUGGUAGUAAACAGAAAAGUGAAAUAAUUUUAAAAUAAUAAAGUAUUCAAUUCUUCCUUAUUUGUAAUUUUUAAAAAAAGAAUUGAGCUCACUCCCUCUCCCCCUCCCCCUCUCCAUCUUUCUAUUCUUUUUUGAUAUUAAUAAGAUUGCCAAGAAGAAAUAAAUUAAUAUUUUGACUUUUUUCCUUGAUACUAAAAAGGAGAAGAGCUCUCUAAAUUUUUUAUUAUUUUUAUUAUGCAAAGAGGAAUGUAUUUUCUUCUAAAGUUUUUUAACUUGCUAAGUUGGUUUAAUGAUAUGAUAAAUUGUCUAAAAAAUAACUCUAUGGGAUAAAUUGAUAAUGAGACCAUAGUUUAUGGGGGUAAAAUGAUAAUAAUUUUAAGGGUUAAACAUGUCUUUUUAUUUUAAUUAACAAAUUCGGUUAAGUUUGACCGUUAGUCUUGGAGGUAAAGUGACUAAAAGAUAAAGUUAAGGGGAAAAUUGAUAAUGACACCAAACGGUAAGGGGGUAAAGUGAUAAUAACCCUAUUUAAAUCUUUAAUUGUUACUACUGCUGCAGUUGUGCUUCUUUUUUAAUUAUUGUAUUUUCCUAUUCUAAAUAUUGUAUCAUUUGCGCGAGGUUAGGUUUUUGUCCCUUUCCGCGUGCUUUUAAUUUUGCUUAUAAAUAAAAUUUAGAGCCAACAUCCCUCAUUUAUAGAGUUUUGCCAAAAGAAAAAAAAAGCUCUAACCUAGAGCAUUAGGUGCUGUAUGUCUAUCAGUAUUAAUUUUCAGAUUGUCAAGCGUAGGUACGUUUAAAUAUUCAGGCAACAAAUAUUGAAAAUGGGAGUUGAUAAUGCCACAACUUUAAUGUUAAUGUCAUAAAAAUUCUUGCUUUAUUGUCCACAUUACCCUUCAGGAGUGAAAACUUUUUAAACAAUUUUUUUAUACACCUUCAGUGUAAGGAUUGUUUUACACCAACUGAAUCAUGUCACAUAAAAUAAAUUCAAAUUUAAAAUUUAAAUUAUGCACAUAUGACAUAUAUUUAAAGCUGCUAAUGUAAAAAAUCAAUACAUUAUCAAUGUAUAGAACUUUUUUAUGGGUUCCACUUCUAUUCCUAUCUUUCUUCCUUUCUCACUAAUCCAUCCUUUUUUCCGAAGUUGGCAGGAAAAUACAGCAAUUAUUGCUUGUAUUGCUUGUGAACUGCAAACAAAGCAGCUGCCGUAUCCUCUUUCAUAUCUUUUUCAGAUGGAUGAUUCUAUGGAACUGUACGAGGUGUUCUACAGUAGGUAAAACGUGAUGCAGCUGUCUAGAAGUGGCAAUCGGGUCAAAAAUGGAUUGGCGGAUCAGAUCAAGACCCGGGUAUAACAGGAGGCCCACUGACUCGAACAUAACCCACCAACCCGCGAUGGGUCAACAUGCUUGACCCGAACACGAAAUUUUUAGGUUGGCGGGUCACCUGAUAUGACCCAAAAUAUAAUUCCAAUUUACUAGUCUACCGCUAUAAUUUCAAACAGAACCAAUUAUGCACAAAACUAAUUACAUAAUCAAGUAAUAAAAACCUCAAUAAAACAAUUCCAAACCAGAUUUGAAAUAAAUUAAAAUACAGUAAAAGUGUUUUAUCCCUAACUAGAUUUGAAAUAAAUUAAAACGCUUUAAAUGUAGAAAAUAAUGUAAUACAUCAUUUGUCCAAACAUCACAAUUCUAACUUCACACAAGCUAAACAAAUUCAUUUAGGAUUAAGUAAUUAAUGCCUUGGAGGAAAAAAUAAUAACUUAGUUUAGUUCGAUAAAAUAUUUUUUAUAUUUAUUAAAUUAUUUUUAAUUCAUAAACGGGUUAUCAGGUCAACCCUUAGGUGACCUGAAUUCAAAUGUUUUCUUUCGGGUUCAACGGGUUUGACCCGAUUCUGACUCGAAUCCACAAAAUGUCAACCCAAACCUAUUAAUUUUGUAUUACUUUUGUGUCAUGUUUUCAGGUCGUGGCAGAAAUUGUCAUCCCUAAACCUGUCGCAUCAUUACGUUUGUGAUAGCACAACAAUGUUGACUUGAGUGUGGGGCAAGCUGUAGGAAAUUCAAACGCCUGGCUAGACCAUUGUUUUGAAAACCGGACUACACCCACCGAUUCGACUAGUUGGAUCGCGAGCCAUUCAUAGCUCCGAUUUGGUUCAUAUUUUGGGUUGAUUGGACUUAAAAACUAGAUUGAAUCAUUCGAACUGUGCGAACCAUGCAAACCGGAUUGAAUUGUUGAAUCGAUGGUUUUUUUUGUUUUUGUCUAUUAAAUUGAAAAAAAAUUUAAAAAAGAAUAGGUUUCCUUAACCUUAAAGGCUAAUUAUUAAAUGCCAUAUUCACUCAUUUUCUUCUUAUUUUUUGCCUCUUAUCCUGUUUGCAUCUCUAUUUUCUAUUUUCUUGACUUCCUCCAAACUUCAAACUUCUUUUUUUUUUUAAAUUGCAAUCUCUAAAUCUAAAAAAUGUGAAUUAAAAUUUAAACUCACAAUGUCUAAUUCCCGUAGAUAUGAAUUUUGUAUAAUUUUAGAAUAUUGUGGUAUUUUUGGGUCGGAUUUAAGAUUUUUUUUUUGGUAUAUACAAUUGAAAUUGAGAUGAAAUUUAUUUGUUUCAACUUAUAAUUUAAAAAAAUUAUUUGUUAAAAUCCAUGUUCUUUGAAAAUAUUAAACUUUUCAUCAUAUGAAGUUUUAAAUUAGUCCAUCACAUGUUUUAUUUUGUGCAUAUAUAUUUAUAUAAAUUAUUUUUAAAAAAAAAAUUUAUUGAACCAGGAUUGAAUCGGUACAACCGAUUAAAUUUCGACUCAAAGACCUAAUCGGUUCAAUCAACAGUCUGAGUUUCAAAACAUUGGGCCAGACAAAAGAGUGAUGGUAUAAGGGGUCCACUAAAUUUAUUUUCAUAUGACCAAUUGUUUUGAAUUAUAUGAUAAGGAUAAAGACUUGUGUAACCUCGGCCUAAGCCUACGAGCCAACUUGUAGAUCGAGCAAUGAAAAAUUUGCCACGUCUUCAAAACUUUUUUUUUUCUUAAUAUCUUUAGAAGCUCUUGAGCAUUCUGCUCUGCGUAUGUUUCUUGAACAUGAAAGAAACUCUUUGCUUAGACGUAGGUUGCAAUCUUGGGUGCAGAUCUGGGUUUUCUGCAAACCUUAUGAGCUUAACAACAAAACAUUGAAAUCUAAAUCUUAUAUUUUUUGAGAAAGAAGGGAAGAAGAUACUGUGAACGAGAACGAAAAUGAAGGCCGUGGGUGGUUCUCAACAGUAGUGCUGGUGAUGGCAAAAAGGGAAGGGAAAUGAGCGAAAUCAUGGGUGGGCGAAUGGGUGGAGGUAAGCAAGUGUUGAUAAUGGUGGUGGUGAUGAGUUGGCUGGGCGGUGGAUGGUGGGAAGUACAAGCACUUCUACUGGGGAUUGAGGGCCAUUCGGGAUUGAGAUAAUUUAUUGAAAAAUACUUUUUCAAUAAUUUUUUUAAUAAAAAUGCUUAUUAAGUGCUUAAGUGCUUUUAAAUAUAGUAUUUGAACAUAUAGUUCAAUAAGUACUUAUUGUACUGAAUAAUAUGUUAUUUGAAAAUUUUUAAACGUAUUUAUCUAUUUAUUUAGUUUAUAAUAUAGGAUGAAAUGAUUAAAUUUAUUGUUUUAUUUUUUAAAUCAUAAAAAUUACUCUAAAAGCACCAAAUUUGAAAUUUUGCUAAAAGUGAUUUUAACACCAAAAUCUCCACUCAUAAUUUCAUGUGAUAAUGUUUACCAAACGCAUUAAUAGUGCUUUUAAUAGCUAAAAGUGCUUUUUUUUACUAAAAACACCGCAACCCCAAACGGAUCCGAGAAGUGGAGUUGAGAAGUCUCAGGAAGCAUACUAAUCUGUUGGAGAAGUGAACAAAGCGUGAGUUGUGUUUGAGGGAGUAUUUUGAUUUUUGAAGUAAAAAAAAAUUUAGUUUAAUGAUUUAUGUCGCUCCCCAUUUUUGAAAAAAAAUAAAAUUACGGGUUUAUAAAAUGAAUUUUUGAUUAAUUUUGAGUGAAAAUGAGUUUUUGAUCUUUAAAAAAUAAAUAAAAAAUGGGCCUAAAUGGGACUUAAAAGUGCAACGGUUUUGGCUCCAAAAUAAUAGUCUAAGAAGGGUUUUUUAAGGAAAAUAGAAGUCGCCACUUAGUAUUGAAUUAAGGUGUACAAGUUAGCUAAAAUGAAUUUUUUUAAAAAAGUAGAAAAAACCCUUUUUAAACGACUUCAAGUCUAUGAAAAUUAAGAGAAAAGAGUUUGAGAGUCACGGUUGAAGAAAGGGAAGGCAAGGAUAAAAUCCAAUGCACCCUUUCAACCUAACUAAGGUUAGUUGCGUGAUUUAGUCAAAAAAAUUUCUUAUUUUAACCUAAAAAUUUAUCACACUGGAUGUCACUAUAUGCAUGUAAACCUAGACCAAAUUUAUAUCGGAAGAGUCAAUAUGUCUCUUCGAAUUUUAGUUGGUGCAAAUCGCAUUAAAUUGCGAUGCCCAAAAGUGACUCUUUGAAGAGGUCACGAGUAUGCAAAAUAUGAGAUUCAAAGAAAAGAAAAGAAAAUAAUAAUUAUACAUAUAUACAUGACCUAAAGGAAUGCAUCAUAACGAGUGCGGGAGGGGGGGCUAAAAUUCGUGACUCAAUUUUCCCUUUUAUAGAGGGAAUACGAGUGUGCUAAGGCUUAAGAGGCCAUACUCGUCUAUAUCCCAUAUUUAAAGGGUUAAUUCUCCUAAUUUUUGGCUAAGCAAAUGAACUAACCUAUGUCUAACUUUCCUUAAAUGAAAUGCAAGUCUAAUGUCAUGUUUUUAUACAUAGGGAUAGGGGAUAUUUAUUAGGGGAAAUAUCAUGCAAAAGUGAUCAUAAGGAUCCUAAAAAGUGGGAAAAUAUGCAUGAAAUAUAGUGAUUUGUCACACGAGCAUGAUCUAAUGCGUGGACGGUUUCUAAGGGUCUAACGUUGAACUAACCCAUGUCUAUAAGUUCUCACUAGUGUUGGACUAGUAAGAAAUCGAAAAAAAGGGCCUCAACUAGCGUUGGACUAGUGAGAAAUAGUAAAAAGGGCCACAACUAGCAUUGGACUAGUGUGGUAACGUCAUGCAUUUAUUAUAAUCCCAUAAGUCAUAUAAAACAUAAUAAAAGCAAAUAAACACAUAAAUUACAUAUAGUAUAUAGCACAUAAGUAUGAUAUCUAGAUGCAAAGAUUCUAAAAAAGGGAGUAAACACAUAAGCACACAAGCGUGCAAACAAAUAAAAGCGAAUAAAGACCUAACUAUUACAUUUGGGGGCUCUAACUACAAUCUAAAAGGGGAGAGAAUGAAAUGAAAUGAAAUAAUAAUCUAACUAUUACAAUUUGGCAUUUAAUCGCCUUUCAAAUAAUAAAAAAUUAAAUUAAAAUAAAUAGACAAAAUUAAAACAAAUAAAGUGAAUAAAUAACUAGAUGAGAUAAAAAAAACAUUCAAAAGAGCAUGCCAUUACGCACAAAAAGUCACAUAGGAGCACCUAGGAUCAACUAAAAUCAAAAUAAUGGAGUAGAGUGUACCUCCCUUGAAUUUGUGAGCUAAUGAAAUGAAAUUUCCCUUAUUUAGCUUCUAAUCACAAAGAAAAUGAUUAAGGUAUCGCUUUAAUUAACAAAUAAUCAUAAGAGAUGAAAAUAAACAUGAAAUUGAACAAUUAAAGCAUUUAAAUGAAAGUAAACAACCCAUAUUCAAGAAAUUAAAACAAGUAAGGACCUAAUUGGAAUAAUUAUAGAAGUUUGAGGGGUCAAAUUAUUAUUAUUUCAAAUAUUAAGGGUCUAAAUUAAAAUAAAAUAAAAUUAAGGGCUUAAGAUGAAGCCUACCAAAACAAAAUGCUAACAUUCAUAAAAAAGUCAAAAUCCUCUCAUCAAACCCCAAAACAAAAAUACUACCCAAAUUUUAAUUAUUUUACUACUCCUUUCGUCCCUUUCAUUUGGUUAUACUUUCCAUUUUGGGAUGUCCCAAAACAAUUGUUAUGUUAGAAAAGUCAAAGCAACUUUUACACUUUUUUUCCAAUAUAACCCUUCUUUUUAAUCAUACAUUCAAAUUUAAAAUUUGAAUUUGAGGGGUAAAAUUGGAAAGAGAAGAACAAACAUCACAAUCAAAUCACUAUUUUUAAAAAGUUGGAUUCCCCAAACAUAACCAAAUGAAUGGGACGGAUGGAGUAUAAUUCAAAUAAAAACUAUAAAUCUAUCAAAAAUUAUUAAACCUCAAAUUGCAUCCUAAAAUUCAUAAAUAGUCUGCCCAAAAAUCACAUUAGAGCAUAUCAAAGAAAAAUAGCAUUUUAAAAGGACAAAAUUGAUUAAUUUUUUUAAUUUUUUGGGUCAUAGUAGAAUUAAGUCAAAAUAUGGGGGUCAAAAUGCAAUUUCGGCAACUUUUCAUGCAAAAGCUUUAAAGAAGCUAUUCUUCUUCGCUCGUUUUUUCCUUCUGAAAUUUUGCAGCCUAUUCAACUGAGGUAUCUUAUUCAAUCUCAAACCAAGCCAGCAAACUCAUUAACCCAACCCAUUAAACUUCAAAACACUUCAAAACAGUUUGAUUAACACAACACAAAAUGCAGGAGACAAGUCAUUGAAGAUCAAACGAAGAACAAAAAUGGAAAAACAUGCAAUCAACCGAGAACAAAACCAGUUUUCUGGUGAAUCCAAGAUGGGUUUGUCAAAAGCUAACACCUUUCAGCCAAACCAUUGAACUAUCAAGUGUCAAACCGUCCUAAUCCUUUGACAAUUUCAAGUCAUCAAAAGCCACUUUCUCCAAAAACAUUAGGAACCAUGCGAAAAGAAAACAAAAUCCAAGAAACCCAUUUAUGAAAGAGAAAGCUCACGCAAAUGGCCCCAAGAUCUCAUGAAAAGUGUUAAAUCAACUGAUAAGAGAAGUUAUUGUUACCCAUAAAUGAUUGAGACGCCGAAUCUAUGCGAGAAAAACCAAAUGGAAUUCACCAAAAGUUCCGUCGCAGGCUUCCCAGGGUUGAUGAUCUCGUGAUUUGGAGCUCUAAUUUGAAGGGGUUAACGGUGUUUUUUGGAGAAAAAUUCAAGAGAAAAGCUGUUUCUCUACACCUUUAUAUAAUGUAGAAAUAAAGAACUUGCUUAAAUGUUAAAAUCGAAGCAAGAAUAUGGAUCCAAAGAGGCCUGCUGCAUCAACCCGGUACCAAAAUUUUCCAGCAAUUUUUCUGCUCUCGUUUCUCUCUUUUUCCUCUCAGAUUUCUCUCUCUUUUGCUGUUUUUUCUUUCUUCAGCCGCCUCUCCCCUUUCUUGCUCUCCCCGGAACCUCCUUUUUCCCUCCUCGCUUUUUCUCUUCUCCCUUUCUUUUUUCUCCUUUCCCUUCUUUUUCUUCCCAGCCGAAACCCUUUUUUAUUCCUCUUUCUCUUGCCCGAAGCUCCUCCUUUCUUCCUCUCCAGAUUCCCUCCUCUUACUCGAAGCCUCUGGUUUCUCCUCUCUGGGUCUGCUUCUCCCUUUCUUUUUUCUUUUCUUUCUUUGCUCGAAGUUCUCCUCCCAAUCUCUUUCACUCCCUCCCUUUCCUUGCUUCCUCUCUUGAUCCUCAGCCGUCACCUCCUCUCCACCUCUCCCUCUCUCGGUCUUUCUCUCCCUUAGUUUUUUCCUUUUUCUCUCGGCCUUGCCUGCAGCUCCUCUCCCUCUUUUCUUUUUUUUUUUUCUUCUUGUUUGUCUGUUCCGUCUUUUUUUUUUUCUCCUCCAGCCAACCCUCCUAGUUUUUUCCUUGCUCUUUCCCGUAGCCUUUUUCCCUUGUUUCUUUCUCUUUUUUUUUUUUUCAGUUUUUUCUCCAAAUUUCUCUCAAAUCAACAAGUGUCCUGCCACUUAGCUUAGCAUGUGUUGUGGUGUAAAAAAUAUGGACAUUUGUCUAAUGCCUAUCCAUCCCACUUAACUAGUUUGCAUGGCCUCCACCUAUUUUCUUUUUAUUUUGUUAUUUUUUGUUUUUCAAAACAAGUUUAGGGUAACAAAAAAAGAAGUUAAAUGCAUCACUAAUUUUCAUUUUAUUGUCAAGCACUUGAAUUUAAAAAUAUUAAAACAAAUUUUUUAUGAGAAUUUUCUUUUUAUUUCAGAAAUUUAAUGCAAAAAUGUCUUAAAAAGAAAAAUGAUGAAGCUAAUUUACUAAAAUAAGCAAAAAAUAAACACUAACUAUCAUUUUGCAAACUUAAUCAACUAAAAUAAAAUAAAAUAAAAAUAAGAAUAAAUAAUAAAAUUAAAUUUAAAAUUAAAUAAAAUAAAAUUAAAAUUUUGGUGUCUACAAUGUGAACGAUUCUGCACCACCCGGUCUACAAGUGGGAACAUACAUCGAAUCUAUGCAAAAUUUUGCCUAUGAAUUGUAAUUUUUUGCCUGGUGUGAGGAACUUGGAACGUAAUAUAUAACAUUGGAUCCAGGGGACGGAAAAUUAAAUAAGGGAAUGAAAUUUAUUGUAAUAAUGUUUGUUGCACAUUUUUGACCAAUUUCUAGCCUCCACAUAUGAGAAGGCAUGUCAGAACCUAUUGUAGAGCGACGUGGAAUUUGUCAUCGUGCCAAAUCAAGGGCUAAUCAUUCGGUUUGUCAGUUCAACACAGGAUUGUUCAUCAAAGCAAAACAUUUAUUUGGAUAGUGAAUUAUUUGUCAAAAAUUAUUUACUUGCAUAACCACAUUUUUAUCUCACAUAUAUCAUUUAAAAAAGUGUUACUAUAUUACUUUAAAAAAUUUAUCCCAAUUAAUCUAUUAUCCAAAUACAAUAUAAUUUAUUUUAGGGUCCACUAUGUUCCUUCUCAUUUCUAUUCCGACAACAGCACAACUAAUACAAACGAUCCAUAGACUCCUUAAACGCUUUCUAAUCUCUUUAUCACUCCCAUUACAUGUAGUCUUUUCAUUUUCUCCUGGUGCUACGGUAUCUAUAUCACACAUUUUUCUUUUUAGACUAAUACCUCAGUGAUUGUUUUCACUACUAAAUGAAGUAGCUAAAAAUAAAUGAGAUAAAAUGUCUAGUCUAAUAAUACUUUUGCUUAAAAAAAUGUUAUUAUGCAUAUCUUUAACAAAUUCAUUGAUAAUUUAUUAAAUUAGUAUGUAGUAAAGAUAAUAACAAAGCGAAUAUAUCAAACAGAGACAUACCAAAAUUUAAGUGAUUUGGUCAAACGAUCUACAUCUAAAAGCACUAACUACUGAAAGAGAGCACAAAAAUCUAGAAAAGUGUUCCUAAGCCUGAAAGUACUAAAUGCUGAAAAUGCAAGAUAGUUCAAAAAAAAAGGGACUUAAAGAUCCAAAUGCUUAAAUAGCCUACUAACUCACUCUUUUAGUUUGAUAUUUAAUUUAAAAACCUUUCUUAAUUUGUGAACUAAAGUUUCCAAAAUCUCUCGAGUUGGUGCCUUUGACACAUUUCAACUCAAAUAAACCCACUAUAUUUAUAACCACUCAAAGAAGAGAUCUUUUGAUAAAACUCCCAAUAUAGAAUACAAAGGCAAACGCAACAACAAGAUAUAACUUAACAAGGGUUACAAUAAAAUUAUUUUUAGUAAAAAAACAAUUUUAUUGUAACUCUUGUUAAGCUGUGUCUUUUAACAUCACGUACUAAUUUAAUAAGUUACCAAUAGAUUUGUUCAGACAUGUAUGAGAGCACAUUAAAAAAUAUAUAUAUUAAAACAUGCAUUUCAACUCUUCUAUCUUUAGCUACUUUUUAUUUGUUUCACCUUUAUUACACAAAUUUUUUAUUUUAUCAUUUACAAAAUUUGAAAAGAAAGAUUAUUUUUUUUAGCAUCUACAAUGCAAAAGUAGGCCAUAAAGGAAUAACCAAAGUGAUUAAGGUUAGCACGCGCACUAUAAAACAUGAAAUAACAAACGAUGACUUAUGAGUAACUAUUUAAAAUCCAAAGAGCAAAUUGCGUGAAAUAUCACUAAACUAUUGCGAGGUGUCGGUUCUGAUCACUAAACUUUUUUAUUAGUAAAAAAUGUCACUAAACUAGUAAAUCUGUACCGUUUUAGUCAUUCCGUGUAUUUAUGCCUUUAGGAGAGAAGGAAAGUCACUUUUUGAGGGGCAAUUUUGUCCGCACAAUCUUUUCCUUGAAGCUUUUACAUAAUCAAUGGUUCUGUAUCCGGCAAAGGCAUAAAGGAGCUGGCUGAUCUAAAUGGUAGCACCGUCAAGACGAUGAUGACAUUUGGUGAGGCAGUGAAGUACAAAAGCUCCCUGGAUGCAUUUGCUCAGAUCUUGAAGAAUGAGGGUGCAAGGUCUCUCUUCAAGGAAGCUGGUGCAAACAUCUUACGUGCUGUUAUUGGUGUUGGUGUGCUUGCUGGCUAUGACAAACUGCAAAUGCUUGUCUUUGGAAAGAAGUAUGGAUCUGGCGGUGCUUAAGAGUUGGUUUUUUGUCCUCAAGAUUUCAAAGAUUAGGCAAUGAGAAAAUCUCCCGUCUCAGAGAAGUUUCAACCUAUCCAACAAAUCAGAGAUUCCAAAAUAGUUGGUAAAUCCAUCUCAGAUUUGGGCACAAAAUCACAAGAGUCUGAUGAGUUAAAAGGGAGAAGGAGCUACCUAUAUUGUUCAGGGGUCGUUUAUGAAGACAAACUUCAACCAAAAAACUGAACUGACAAAUUUGCCCCUAAAAAAUCAAGUUUGCAACUCAUGUGAUCCAUCCCCACCAGCACCGUCGCGAUUGCUUCACUCAGUACCGCGACAUGAAAGCCAUGGACCCAAUUGAACUGUUAGGGAUACUUCCAACUUGCAGCUUCGGGAACUUCUGUUUCAAGAAGUAUUUGGCAAUUGUUCAUCCCAAAAUAGAGGAGUCGUUAUUCGGGGACUUGGAGCAGCACCGCCUAGUUUAGGCCGGAAGCCACCCCAGGAGUCAAUUUUAUGGGGAGUUUUUGGGCCUAGUUAAGGCAGUUUGGCUGCUACAUUUUCUGGCAUUUUUUAUGGACCCACCAACUAGUCAUUUUGAGGCUACUAAGGGAGCUGAUUUCCAUCCGCAGUAUAUGGACAGUGUGGUGAGGGUUCUUGGUGGUGGACGAAUGGGUGGUGGUGUGCCUCAGGUGGUGGGCUUCCCGGUGAGCCCUGGGUUUAAACUUGGAAAUGGGUCACUAAUUAAAGCCAGGGUAUACCUCGUUCCCAAGAACGGGUACUGAAUUUGUACUACUAUUUAGCCUAGUUAAAACUUAGAAGACAUGGACUAGUGCCUCUGUGUCCGAAUGGCAUCGGGAUUGUGCCGUUUGUUGUUGUUCUCUGAUGAGCUUGGAUUGAAGGUCGCAGCUGGACUUUGGUCGGGAUCAAAAAUAGGAGGGAAGGGGGGGUUCCAGUAGGAGGGGAGAAAAGAGAAGGCAGGGUGUAGAGGGAAGAGAGAGGAGGGGAGGGAAGGAAGAGGGAGGAGGAGGAAGAAGAAAGAAAAAGGGAGAGGAAGGAGAGCGGAGGCGGAAGUGAUGGCGGUGGGUGGCAAUGUAGGUGAUGGGUGGUUGUGGGUGAAGAAGAACGAGGGUAUAAAUUUUUUAACAGUUGUGUAGAUGAAAUUGCCUCUCAAAAAGUGACAUUUCGUCUCUCUUAACGGCAUAAAUACACGGAAUGACUAAAACGUUAUAGAUUUAUUAGUUCAUUGAUAUUUUUGGCUAAUAAAAAAGUUUAGUGAUCAGAACCAACACCUCGCAAUAGUUUAGUGACAUUUCGCGCAAUUUGCUCAAAUCCAAAUUCUAGUAAGGUAUUUUUUGCUUUUUUUUCCCCUCCUAGUUUUCUUGCAUUAAUUUAUUUUGCUUGUUUUUCCAUAAUAUAAAGAAUUUUUCAAAAAGUUGCAUUUGUGAAAUGCAUACUUUCCAAAAGCUGCAUUUAGGAAAUGCAACAUUUCGUGGACUUUUUUUUUGCUCCACUUUAUUUGUUUUAUUCUACAAUAGAAACAUUGCAUUUGCGAAAUACAAGUUUUCGAGAAGCAUUGCAUUUUGCUAUUAUGUUUUUCACCCUUUGGGAAGAAGUUUGGCAAGUGACAUUGUUUGGGAUUUUUUUUUCUUUUGAAAACUAGCACUAAUUGGGAAAUUACUCCUGUAUUUGCCUUUUCCCAUCUCCGGACCAAAUAAUUUACAAACGGGAAAAUGCACUUUUCAUCUUCAAUAUUUAAGGUGUUAAUUAAUUUCGUCCCUAAAGUUUCAUGUGAAAUACAUUUGAUCCUCAUAGUUUUAUAAUUUUGACCAAUUUUGUCCCUAAAAUUUAUGUAGAACACAUUUCAUCCUCAUAGUUUUAUAAGAUCUACCAAUUGAGAAUAAUUAAAUGGUUGUUUAACAAUUUGAACAUAAUAUCAUCACAUGUCCUGUUCGUAAUUGUAUUAUUAAUACUUAAUUCAAUUAUUGAUUAAAUUACAGAAAUAACAAGAAAUAUUUUUGGAUAGGAAACGAUCACUUUUUUUAAUGUGAUAUGAUGUAUUUGAGAUAAAGCAAAUAGAUUGAAAGAUAAAUAGAUAAUUAAAAAACUUGUAUAUGAUGCAACAAAACAAAAUUUGAACAGUGAGGUUGUUUUUUUUCCUAAUGGGUAUGCCAUGGUCAAGUGACGACAUUUCAUUCAAAUUGUUUCACAAUCCAUCAAUUGUCCUCAAUCAGCCAAAUUUACGAAACUAUGAAGAUGAAAUGUGUUUGAGUGAACUUUAAGGAUGAAAUUAGUCAAAAUUAUAAAAUUACAAGGAUGCAAUGUGUUUUGCAUGAAACUUUAGGAACAAAAUUGGUUGACACCUUAAACAUUAGGGAUAAAAAGUGCAUUUUUUCCAUUUACAAACCGAUCCUUAAUGGUUUUGGACUCACCACUUAUAAAGUUGGGAAAUUUAACAAAUUGGUCCCUAAUAUUUUCACAAAAAACUUUUUUAGUCUCUAAUAUUUAAAAUCAGUCAGAAUAGCCCCUAACAUAUAAAUUAUGAGCCAAUUUGGUCCUAAUUCUCGCAUUUGCUCAUUUUUCCUGUUAAAAAUAACACACCUGUCUCACAUGGAUAUAAUUUUAAGAGCAAAAUCGGAAAUAUUCGUUAAUCCAUAGUUAUGCAUCCCUCAAACUCUUGCACCGCUUCUUCAACUGGUUCUCACUUCUCAGUCUACUGCUACUAUGACAUCACAGAAAUCGACGGCGUCAACACCAAUGAACUCUACAAUGCCGUCCAGCUGUACCUCAGCAGAUCCGCUUCCAUCUCCGGCAACCGCCUGAGCCUCACUCGCUGGCUCAACUCCACCUCAGGCUAUCCAACAAUGACCGCCUCAUGGACAACUACAAGGGCGUGACGGUUCUGUGGGAACACAGUCACGCAGAGACAAGCCCAGACAUUUUCUUGGCGGCCGUUGCCCGAAGAAAAGCGGGGCUUCACUUUGCGCGUGAAGAAGAAGGAUAAGUCGGUUAUUUUGGGAUCUUACCUAGUUUUUGUCACGGAAAAAGCUAGCGAAAUACGUCGGAAUAAUCAAGAUCGGUUGCUUUACACCAAUUCACGUGGAGGGUCACUUGAUUCCCGAGCCCAUCCUUGGGAGUCCAUACCCUUUAAGCAUCCUAGCACUUUUGACACGCUAGCUAUGGAUCCGAUCAAAAAGGCCGAAAUCAUGGCUGAUCUUAAAGAUUUUGCUAAUGGGGAAGCAUUUUAUCAGAGGAUUGGCCGGGCUUGGAAGAGGGGAUAUUUGUUGGACGGACCACCUGGGACGAGUAAGUCUAGCAUGAUUGCUGCAAUGGCUAAUUUCUUGGGGUAUGACAUUUACAAUCUUGAGUUGACUGAGGCGCAUACCAAUUCGGAGCUGAGGAAAUUGUUGAUGAAAACCAGUUCAAAAUCCAUUAUUGUGACUGAAGAUAUUGAUUGUUCAAUUAAUUUGACUAAUAGGAAGAAGAGCAGAGGUGCUGCUAAUUCCGACGGACAAGUGGGUGGUCCGAUUUUAUCCUUAAAAUAUGUCCAUGUGAGAGAGGUGUGCAAUUUUUAGUCGGAAAAAUAAGCAAAUACGAGCACUGGAAUCAAACUGACUCAUAAUUUAUAUGUUAGAGACUAUUUUGAUUGAUUUUAAAUAUUAAAAACUGAAUUUUUUUUUUUUUUAUAAAAAUAUUAAGGAUCAAUUUGACAAAUUUCCCUGCAAAGUUUACACUUCCACUCCACUGGCCCCACGUUGUUGUCCUCAGAUUUUCAUUCUUUUAUUCCCAUCAAUGCCAGGGAGAGUUCCGCUGGCACAGAAGCUAUCGGACCACGUGUUUUCGUAUUUGGAUGCCUGCACGCCCUUGUCCUCAAUUUCACAACUCAUUUGCAGAGUUAAUCUUUUUUUUUUAUUAUUAUUAUUUCACAACUAGCAUGCCAAAUAAUACAACUGCAUUUAAGUUUAGAACUGAAAUAUAUAAUCAUUCACUCAAACUUAGACAAAUAUAUAUUAUUGUCAUACAAACCCAAGUCCAACAAUGCAAAUAAAAUUUAUUUUCUAACAAGCACAGAACACUUUGCUUGCUUUCAUCCAGCCUAGCUUAAUGCUGUAGCUUGUUCAAAGCUACGAUAGGAAUAUUACUGCAUGGCCAUCUUAAUUAUGGUUCUUGAGCCUGCGCAAGAUUAAAUGAGCUCCAUACUGAGGCUGCACGGUGACACGUCUAAUCGGGGCAUGGACAUAAGAUGGAGAGAGCUCUGAGGAAAGAGUACGUAGGAUUAUUGCGAUAGCCAUUUUUAUCGAGUACAGUGCAAAGUUAUUCCCAAUGCACAUCCUUGGUCCGAAGCUGAAGGGAAAAUAAGCACCCUGGAUUUUUGUUGCCUUCAUAAUCCCUUCAGAAAAUCUCUCUGGUUUGAAUUCCAAGACAUCAUCACCCCAUAAUUCAGGGUCAUAAUGGAGCAGAAUUUGUGGCAUCAUGACCUGUACUCCAGCUGGAAUCAAAUACUUCCCAAGUAGUGUAUCUUCGGAAGCCACUUUGGAGAGCUCAGCUAGUGGCGGAUAUAACCGUAGAACCUCGUUCAAGAUCAUAGAUACCUAUGUACGAGUAAUACAAUUGAGUGGCCAGAAAAUACUAUACAUCAAGAAAGAAAAUAAAAAUCAAGAAAUUUCAUAAAGUUUUUCUAAUAGGUGCCUAUUAUCUUCCCAAUCUAGCGCCCAAAACUUCUGCAUGAUUUAGGAACUUGAAGGGAGACUUACAAUUUUCAGGUGGUUUAUACCAUCAUAGUCCGGCAUUUUGUCCCCAAAAACUUGGAGAACUUCUUCUCUUGCACGGUCCUGCCACUCAGUGUGCUUACUCAAGAGGACGAGUGUCCAGAGGACCAAAGUUGAGCUGGUGUCCUGCCCUGCCCAAUAGAACAGUUUGCACACAGCAUAGAUAUCUUCAAUGCUCAAUCCUGCACUUUUUUGGUUGCCCUGCAGCUUGAUCUCAUUGAGAUUGGAUUCCAACAAUAACCCCACGAAGUCAGCACCACCAGAUUCUCCUGCCUGCAUUGCCUUCAACUUUCUAUUGAUGAUGUCUGUAAUCUUAACUCUUAAUUCUCUGUCUAAUGCUCUCAUCCUGAGAUUGCUCUUAGUUGGCAGAAACCUUCAGCAGCAAAUUCAAACACAAAACUAAUUAUCUAAUAAAUCAGAUAAUAGUUCAGUACAACAUGUGGAUCGAUUUUCUGAUUCUUGACUAUAUUCCAUUGUUUGAUUGAUUACUGCUUGUUAAUUUACUCAUUUACUUAACUUUUAUUCUUAAUUUGGUCAUUUAUUCUUAACAUUGAUUAAAUGAACUUAAUUAGUUCGCAAAUCUAGUUUAUACAUACAUAUAUAUGCGUAACAUGUGUUAGUAUAUAUGUAUGUGCAUAUUGGCAUAGCCAUAUUCCAAUAUCGGAUUAACAUGGGGCAGACUUGGACAGUUUCUCCUUCACCACCCAUUUUGUAUAGACAUGCUUUUAAGAUUAUAUACGUAAAGGCAGGUUUACUAGUUAUACUUUUCAAAUUGAUAAUAUCUACACAAAAUUCCAUUAUAGCAAAUGAGUUUCUUCAUAAGGUAAUAGGAACAUAAUAUUAAUUAAAAUUUUUUUCCUGCAUGAAGUUGAUAAUUAAUUUUUAAAAAAUAAAAUAAAAUAAAAUAUUUAAAAAAAGAGGCUCAAGGAACAAGACAUGCAUUUUGUGUACGUUAUAUUUAUAAAGAAAAAAAAAUUUUGGUUAAGGGUAAACUUUACCUCUUUCCUGGAAAGUAAACUGAGUUUACUUUUUCCCACGUAUGAUUGGCAAGUUCUUUCAGAAGCCCGACAAUCUUUUUUCCUUCUUCGCCGCCAAUCCCAAAUAGUGAUGUUGAAAUUGAAGUUGCUGAAAUCGAUUCAACUCCAGGCCACACGUCCACCUCUGCUGCACCCCCCUCAGGAAUCACACUAGUCCAUUUGUUAACCGCAUCGAUGCAGCUCGAUUGAAACAGUGGUAACAUGCUCUAUAAAACAGGGAACAGUUAAAGGGGUCAUAUCAACUACUAACCGGUGCAUGCAGAGUUGAAAAUGCGAGACAAUAAUGUUGAAAAUCACACCUUUAACUUUUCCAAAGUGAAAGCAGGGUUAGUGAUCUUUCUAUACUUGGCCCAUUCUUCACCCUCUACAGCGCCCAUUCCACCGAAAAGGAUGUGGAUGAGUGGAUCAAGAUCGUGAAAACUCUUGUGAAAUGUCGCGUGUCUAACCAAGGCGUCUUUGGCUAGUGUUGGAUCUGUCACUGUUAUCUUGGGGAAUCUUCCAAUCCACAUGAAAGAAUUUUUUCCUAAAUUUAGUUCAGCACAAAACGGUUUGCGUUAGUAUUCCAACCAAAAAAAAUAAAUAAAAAAAGAAGAAGGAGAAGAAAUCAAAAGAGAACGCGAGCAAAAUCACAAUUAAGUGGUGCUUCAGAAAUUAAAAGUUACGUACCAUGAGAUUGGACAGAGUUGUAGACUUCGGGCAUCGUGCGUUUUACGAUAUUGUCUCCAAGCUGAAUAGGCUUGGAAUGAGCUUCCCUGAGUAAUUUUGCACUUUCAUAGAGGUCUCCUCGUAAUAGCCUGUAGGGGUUCCCUUUCAAACCUUGUUCCCUAAGGCAUUUCUCAAGCUUCUUUGGUCUGAACCAGUACAAAUCAAGCAUCCCAUAAAGCCAGUAAAUGGCAUAACCUACGAAUCCCAAGAUUGCUAUUAAUUUGAACCCCAUGACUUCCAUUUUCGUUGGUUUAGUAGCAGGUUCUAUGGCUUUGUUUCUUGGGUGGGAAACGAAUAUAUAUAGGAUGACAGGCGCUGGAGUCGGGUAUUACUGGAACUUAAACCGAAAUCAUUUAAAAGCUUGCACCGUUGGUAAUAAUUGCGAAUCCCAAAAUAUUGCGAAUCCCAAAAUGCGACAACAAUUUCCCUGCCGCGGAAGUAUAUAAAAAUCUAAGAUUCUUUCACCAUUGAAUGUCAAGUGGAUUUCAAACAUUUUGACAAGAAAAUAAUGGUGAACCAUAGCAUUAAACUAGUGUAAUUUAAGAGUUUUCCUGUUUUCUAUAUUUAUUGUUGUGGUUACCAGUAAUGAUUUUGUGCUGUCAUCUUUUUGCUGGUUAUAUUGUUCUAUAGUUUUAACCUGGCUAUUACUCACCCUUAGAACUUGUUAAUUACCAUUUUAUUUUUGUAAAUCUUUCUGAUGACUGGCAGGGUCCUCUUUUCUUUUCUUUUGUUAAUCCCCUCUGUCUACUGGAUCUCCUUUCUCCUCCGCUUAGUUUCUUCUACACCUUCACUUCUGUAUUGAUCUUGAGCAGGCUGUUAUUUACCGGUCUUUCUCUGUAUUGAUUUUCACUCUGUUACAAGUGAGGACGAACGAGAAGAUUUGAUUCUGGUACCAUUUUCUAACUUGCCACUUUCUUUAUUUGGCCUUUUGUCUUGUUCAUAUAUAUGACCAAUUAUUCAUGGACAGGCUAGUGGCCCUUUGAUUUUAACAUGUGCAACGUGAUUCCUUGUGGCCAUGUCCAAUUCUGAAUUAUUGCGCAGCCAUUUCAAAACCUGCAUCAUUUGUUGGGACAUGGCCAACGUUGGGACCAAUCACAAUCUGGCAGAUAGCUAAACUGAAAAAUUUUGCACAUGCAUCACAAGAACAUUGAAAUUGCGUAUGCAUCACAGGAUCAUUAGAGAUUCCUCAGGCAUGUGAAUCAAAGGUGUGACGACCCCACCUCGCUCUAGAGUUUAACGGACCGCCUGCCUAACUCUUGUCAGGAUUCACUCACUCAAAUUAACUUCAGAGAUAAUAUUUCCAUUAAACAACCGCACAUUCAGUUUUAAGUACAAAGCCAACUAGAUUAGAAUGUAAAUUCAUUCGUUAAAAGAAACAAAAUACAAGUUUUAAAUAGCGAUAGACAAAUUUGACCACCCAAAACCAUCUAUCCCUACUCGAGGCUUCUUCCAACCUCAACUCCAGCAAGGAAAACAAAACUAAGGGAAUGAGCUCAUGCCCAGUGAGGUUUUCCAAACAAGCAACAUUCAAUAAACACUUAAACCAGUAAAAAUUAAACAAGUAAAGAACACUUCCCUGUAUAAUUACUUUCAAAAGGAUAGGGUGCUCAUUACGAGCCUUUUAUGUAACACUAUACAUUUCACAAUAUAAUAACUCAGUCAAUAUAAAAGAAUACAAGCUCCUUCUGAGGGUCAUUUCAAUCCCACUGCACACUCCGCCAAAACCACCCCCUUAUAUCCUUCAAAUCAAUAAACAAUCUCCUACAUUCAUUAUUAAGUUCAAUAAUCUCCAAACUUCAGGGUAAUACUUGAAUAUAUCGAAAUACUUACCCAAAGCUACCGUCCUACUCAACCAAACCCUUUGCUAGCUCGAAUAACCCGUUGAACAGAAGGUUUUGGGGCCCAGUUCAACCGGUGUGGUAAAGUACACAUACGGCUUAUAUUCAUACACAUUUACAAUAAUACUUGGUCAAUUGUCAACGUUCAAACUCAACUAAACCGAGUGUGAUAAAGUACACCUCCGACUUAGAAGGCGAAGGUCAAUUGAGAUACACUUUACAAUGAAUCGCUAGCAAUAUUCUAUAAUAAGCACAUUUAUCACAUAACACCACUUAAGUAAAAUAUAAGCAGUUUAGACACACAAAUUCGAAAACACUCACCUAAAAUAUUUUGAGUUCACACCUCAAUACUUGGACCCUCCGCUGAAUCUCCCUCUGCCCCUGAGAUAUUUAUAAACCUAUUAUUUUUUCCAAUUGGUGAAGUUAAGGCUCACAUGAUUAUUUUGACUAAAGUAUAUAUAUGUGUGUGUAUAUAAUCCAAGAUGUUUAAUUGUAUAUAUAUAUUUAGGAGGAGUUUCAAGGUGAUUAUAUGUCAAUAAAAGUUGGGAUUUAGGUUCUAAGAAUCAUUUAGAAUCGAGGUGUAAAGUAAGUAAGUUAAUUUUCUAGGAUUUCGUAGUUUGGGGAUCAUAUGAAGUUCCUUGAUUUUACCCUAGAUUUUUGGAUGAGAUUUAUAGGUAAAACUUUGAUAAGGUAACUUAGAGGAAUUUGAUCAGUUUUGGUUCGUUUCUACCUUAGAAAUUUAAAAUUAAAAGCUAGAAUCUAAGUACUAAGUUAGGAUUAUUCAAAACGGGUUUUAGCAAGACAUGCUUCAUGUUUUUGGUCCAAAGUUCACUAUUUCUUGGUUCAAACCUCCUAAAAUCCAACCUGCAUUUUACCAUUAUACCUAAUAGGUUGUUCUUAAUUCAAAGUUUGGUCAGAAUUUUCAGUGAAAGUUUAGAAAUUAGUUUGAAAUCCUCAACCAUUCGAAUCGACUCAAAAGGGUCUAACUAGUUGACCAAUUUAGAUUUCUUUCCUCAAAACUCAAUGUUUCUUGUUCUAGUCAGGAUAAGUGUAAAAUACAGGGCAAAAUGGAAGAUUAUAGAGUAUUCUUGACCAAUAUUUGCACAAUUUCAGUUCACAUAAUAGAAAUCAACUAAAAGAAAACACAGCCACUCUCUCGGCUACAAAUCACUAAGGACAGCCAUGUUUCUUUCCCAACUUUUCAUUCAAUCUUCUAAAUUAUCAACCAAAUCCGACAUGUACUUACUUAUAUACUGAAAUGAGGUCAUGAAAUUUCGAAAUUCAACAAACAAUAAUCACAGCUAUAUCCCUUCGGACAAGCUAACAACCAAACUUUCUUUCCUCUUGGCCAAAGUUGGAAAUUCCAGCGAGAAACCAGCCAUAAAACUCAAUUUUUACCAUAGAAACUCACAUGCAUCACCCUAACAAUAUGAGACAAGGCAUAAAGCAUGGAUUUCAGUUAUGAUCUAGCAAAAUUUCCAAGAAAAUAACCAAAGUUGCCACGUUCUUCUUUCCUCCUAGUUUGCUGUCUUGAUAUUCCAGAUUUGUUGCUGCUUUAAAGUUCAUACUUUCUUCCUUUUAACUUCUCAAAUGUCACAUGCAUGAUAAGGUUAAUGUGUUAUAAGGUGCAUUAAAUCACAAUAUGAAAGUUUGCAGCCAAAAUCCAUGGAGAAAGCUGGGAAAAUCCUUUCUCAUCCUUCUCGGCUAAAGCUGGAAAAAUUUCAGCAAAUAGAUAGUUUGGAAAACGAACUUUUCCCCAACAAAUUCUUUAUUUUUUUCACUCAAACUCAUCAUGCAUGUGGUGAUUAUUGUGGUAUGAGGUAUAUUGAACAACAAUAUGAAAUUUGCAGCCAAGAUUUGAAGAGAAAAACUCAAAAAUUCUUUCUUUCCCUCUCUCGGCCAUCUCAACAGAUUCCAGCAAGCUUUCUUCAACAAUUUCAGCCAAGAUUACCAAUGUAUUUACCAGAUUGAAAGGCAAAUACCUUGUAAGACAAGAGAUAAACUUAUAUCAUGCAUUUGCUAGUAAGUUUCUCCAAAAAUUUCAAAUAACAAGCUGCAUAUCUAGCUCUCACUUCCUCGGCCAUAACAGAAUUUUUCAGCAAAUGAGCAGUCAUUAAACAGGUUUUUCUUCAGCAAAACUCACUUUUCUUAUCUAAAACCAACAUGCAACAUACAUAAUUAAGAUUAUUGGAAGAUUGAGGGGUUUUAUUACAAGUUUUACCUCCCUUUCUGUGAAAAUCUAAGCUGGAAAAUGCGGACAGCCUAUCCUCUCCUGGCUCCUCAAGAAAACCGCACCAGGCUUCUCUUCCUUCUCCCCUCAAUUCGGCUAGUAUAAACACCAAGAGGCUACAGCUUCCUCCUCACUCUCAACUCUCUUUUGUGCGUGGGAAUAGGGUGAGAAUAUGGUUCUCUCUCUACCUCACUUUCUCUCGGUUUCAGUUGGAAGCAAAGAGGAACCAGAAAUGCUUUUCCCUCUCUCUCGGUUUAAACAAAAGAAAGACAAAUGGUUUCCUUUCGGUUUCAAGUCAAGAAGAAAAAGGAAAAGCUUGUUGGUUGCAUGGUAAUUCUACCACAUUCCUAGGGCCAUAUGGUCAUUUAACAAACUCUUGAACAUUUGGCAAAAAAAAAAAAAAACUAGACGUUUGUCAUUUGCAUGAUUUGUCUCCAAACAUUAUUCGACUAUGGCCAAAGUAAUUCUAGUAAUCACAUCAUUGCCCCAUUAAUUUGUUUUGAGUAGUAUAAUUUCUAUAAAGGUAUUCAUACAAUAAUCUAAAGUAUCCCUAUGCACUUUAAAUUAUAAAGGAGACAAGUAAACACAUAAAUCAAUCAAUGAUAUGGUAUAUGCAAUGCUUUCGAUCUUUAGAAGAAAAUGUGAAAUGUAUGAAUAAAUUUUCCGCCUCUCACAAAAGGCUAUUGCAGAAACAUUGGAAAUGCUACCAAUAUCCUCUCUGAACUUUGGGGUAUUUGAGAUGGGUUGGAAUUGGCCUGCUCACUCAAUAUAUCUCAUCUUGAAGUUGAAAUAGACUGUGUGGAUAUUAUAUCUAUGAUUAAAUCUACUGAAAAUGUUUAUCACUAUUUACAUCUAUCCAUUAUGGAUUGCACUAUUGCAGAUUCUUCUUCUCGCAGCUUCGGAAAGUGAGAAUCUCCCAUGUCUAUCGUGAGGCUAAUAGAUGUGCAUAUCAACUGGCUAAGAUGAGAAGCAAGCAGAAUAGACACUUGACCACUUUUGAUAAAUGUCCUCAGAAGUUGGUUUUGUUUAUGAUGAGAAUAUCAAAGGAGUCCGUCUCCUCGUGGUAUUCCUAUGGCUUGUAAUGGCUAGUGAAACCAUGGUUCGCCAUUGUGGGUCGCGUUGCGAUCUCGGUUGUUUCAUAUUCGUCGCGGUAUAUCGGGUGAUACGCACAUUAUAAUACAUGAAAGUUUUCAAAAAUUUUGAAAAAUUUACUAAAAUUAGAAAAUACCAAAAAAGACACAAUUUAAAAAAAUAUCUGAAUCGAUUCCAAGUUGAUUCGGAUAUAUCGGCUGAUUUCAUGUAUCACGGAUUCAAAACAACCAAUAUCGAUCGAGUCAGAACGAGUCCUCAAGGAUAUGGUAAUAUCCAUGAUUCGGGAAUCGGUAUCGUGCCGGUCCCCUCUGUUCCGAUUACGAGCCGGCCGAUACGCAUCGGUAUCGGCCAAUAUUGCGAACCAUGAGUGAAAUUGCUUUUGUUCUGUACUUUAUUAAUGCAUUCCUCUUUUUACCAAAAAAAAAAAAGAACAUAUUGGCCCUAGAAAAGAAUAAACAAAAGCCAAAAGAAGAUAAAUGAAAAGAAAAGAAAAACUCACGGUUGUGCGUGUUUCAGGUGCACCUGCGAUCAAGAUAGGUGUUUGCUAUAUUAUUCCGACUCUUCAUUUGGUUUUGAUCCCAAACUCAAAGUACCCAUGUCCACACGACACUUGUUUCUACACUUUGAAAAAUUUGUGGACAUUUUGACUUUUGUGAGGUCUAAUGUCCAAGGAAGAGGAGAAGACCUGGCUGAGAAAACUAUUAGAUGUAGAAAAGUUGUCGCAUUGGAAUCCUUAUUGCACUAGAAUCCUUUUAGCUAUGACUCGGUGGUUACUUUAGAAUUCUCCAAUCCUUAGUGAGGUAUGACUUGUAUGUUGGCUGUAUUGUAUAAUUCUUUUAUUUACUAGAAAUUUUGCCAUACCCACGUACUCGUGUCCGAGUCUUUAGAAGUAUCUCCGUAUCCUAAUUAACACUUAGACACGUACCCAAUCCAACACCCAUACCCAAGUCCAAGUAACAUAAGGUAUUUAAUUGAAUAUAUAUAAAUUAAUUUUUUCUAUACUGUCAAUGCAAAAACUUUUUUUACAUAGGUACAGAUUAAUAACAUGCCAUGACUUGUGCAACAUGAUUGAAGGUGGUACUUUUUAAUACGUGCAUCUUUUGUUUUAAAGAUCUUUUGUAAAGUAAAAAUUGAACCGAAUUGAAGCUAUGAAAGGAAAAACAAAACAACCUUCUCUGAAGAAACCGUGAAAAGGAUAAGCAAUACCAAGACCAAAAUAAAUCUCAAUAUUAUUCCAUUGAUUGCUUUGGUAUAAAAGUAUUUAUAGAGGAAACAAAUCCUAAGAAGAACAAAGAAACUACAAUGCCAUACCAAAAUAAAAUAAAUUUACUAAAGAGCAAAAAUGAUAGAAAAUUGUAAAAGCCCCUCGUUACAAUAUAUGAAAUCAUUAAAACUUCUCAUCUAAAUAUUACACAAUCCACAAUAUUUAGGGAUAAUUUCAGAAACCUCUCUUAAAAUUUUUCAUCAUGCCACUUAGCACGUUCGAGGUUACCAAAAUCUUACGUACCUCGAAGUCCUUGCUUGAGUUGACAUUUUUUGUAACAUGUCAGUCCCUCUGGGAGAAAAAACAAGAAAUAAUAUUUUGGUUCAAAUAAGACUCUUAUGUUAUUCUAUUUAUGAAGCUUAUAAUAACACUGAAAAUUGCGAUAAUUUGCACCUAAAGUUUCUAAAAUCUUACUUAUCAUGUCACUCUCAAAGGUUGCAAAUUGAUAAAAUUAUCCUUGCACUCUUAUUUAGCCUAUGCAUGCUAAUAAGGUGCUGCUUCAGUGGGUUGCUGCUGUGUAUUGCAGAGCCAGUCUCAUUUAGUCAUAAUUUUUCCAGUUACUAUCAUUUUUUUUGGAAAAUUUGCCAAAUUGGUCCCUAAUAUUUUUUUAAAAAACUUUUUUAGUCCCUAACAUUUAAAAUCAGUCAAAAUAGUCCCUAACAUAUAAAUUAUGAACUAGUUUGGUCCUAAUGCUCGUAUUUACUCAUUUUUCCGACUAAAAACAGCACACAUAUCUCACGUGGGCAUAAUUUUAAGGGCAAAAUCGAAAAACAUUCAUUAAUCCAUGGUUUUAGACUCUGAAGGAAAGAGAAUAUGCUCUUCAAAGUUCAAGCUCUCAAUGGCUAUUCUUCCAUAACUCCACCCACUCCUCCUAGAGUCAAUCUUGAGUCAUCUUUCUUGCACCUACUCCAUUAGAUGCAUUCCACCAUCACCACUAACCCAAAGCCUGAUGAUCUCAAGAGAACUAGAAAACUUGAAGCUUCAUUGAAUGUUGAAAACCAAGAAAAACAAAUCAUUCGCAACAUUUUGCAGUCCUUCACGACAUCCCAACUUGUUGAAAUCCUUCAGAAGCUGCCAUUGUCCAUCCCAGCAUUCUCCAUACCUUUCUUUCCAUCGUUGAUAACAUCCCAUCCUAUCGCAAGAUCUUUAUCAAAAGUCUAUGGUUUUGUUACUUUCAAGAAUGUUGAGUCUUUCUUUCUUGCCCUAGAAAACCUCAGCAAUAAAAUUGAUGGGUUUGUCAGCAAUAAAAUUGGUGGAGAAUGUGCCAACCAACUGAGAUGAGUUCUAAGACUUUGUUGAGCUAUUUUGAGAGGUAUGGUGAAAUUCAAGAAGGGCCUUGGGGUUUGAUAUGGGGACAGGGAAAUCAAGAGGGUUUGUUUAUCUUUUGUAUGACAAUGAGGAAAGUGCAAAAGCUGCUUUUGCUGAGAAGGUGAAAUUUCUUGAUAGUUUCCGGCUAGUUUGCAAAAUGGUGUCGAGGGAAAGGGAGAAAAGUAAUAGGAACCCAAUGGGGGUUUUGCCUGUAAAACCAUGGAUUGACAAAUGUUUUCCAAUUUUACCCUUGAAAUUAUGCCCACGUGAGAGAGGUGUGCUGUUUUUAGUCAAAAAAAUGAGCAAAUACUAGUAUUAGGACCAAAUUGGCUCAUAAUUUAUAUGUUGGGGACUAUUCUGACUGAUUUUAAAUGUUAGGGAUUAAAAAAUUUCUUUUUGAAAUGUUAGGGACCAAUUUGGCAAAUUUCCCCCUUUUUUUUUGUCCUUUGGGUUGGUUUUCGAAAAUGUUUCAACAAGAUUAUUACAACGGAAACAAAAGGGGUUAAUCCUUCAAAAUUUCAAACCCAACGUCACCGCUACUACUGGGAAAAUCAUAAGGAUUCUACUAAUGAAAAACUCAACCAACUCUCUGCAGAAAUGACUAACCUUUGCUUGCAAACUACAGGAUUGAAGUCGCCAUAUACAUACACGUUGCUUAUCAGAAUCAAGGAAAACAAAUUUUGUCCUAAGUCCACAUACCGGCAAUAAGUUAUUGGGAGAAAGCUAUGUUAGAAUUAUUUUAUAAUUUGGGUUUCUACUGAUUAUAUUUGUUUUUUGUUAAAAAAUCGGGUAAAUGAAAAUCGGUAAAAUCCACUACAGUAUGAUCUACUAUAGUUGGGGUUUAAGUCUGUCUCAACUAUCUAUUUGGUGUGAUAUGCAAGGUGUAGAGCCUAUCAUGUUAACUAAUUAUGUAUAUAUGAAUGUACUACACAACGGAAAUCUAAAUACACUUACAUCUAAUUAUUGUUGUCAAGUACAAGUUGAUCUCUUCUUGUGUCUUUGACUCUUUCAUGUCUACUCUAAAGAAACAAAAUAUGUAGAAGAAGGAAAAGGUAGAUAGAGAAUUUAGAGUAAGGAUCUUCUAACCUAUGCCUAACCCAAAACUAUAUAAUUGAUGGAAUAGCAUAAACUAUUUAUAGGCUAGGCUAGGGACCGUUACUAGCAAAUAUAAAAAUCUCUAAGGUUUCCUUCCAUCAAGGAAAUCUUACCAAAAUUCAUAACUGAAAAUAACAUUUUCUGACUAAUUGAUUGAUUUGAUUAAUUAACUAAUUGAUAUCUUAAUUGAAUAAGAUAUCAAUUAACAAAGAUAUCAAUCAAUCACUAAUAAAUGGGAGAUACUAAUUAAUUAUUGAUAAAAUGUCAAUCAAUUAAUCAGGAUAUCAAUCACUAAUCAUUAUCUAAUAGGAGAUGUUAAUUAAUUAUUGACAAAAUGUCAAUCAAUUAAUUAUGAUAUCAAUCACUUUAGAAUUAAUCAUGUGAGUCAUAAUUGUCUCAAAAGGAGGCAAGUCUUACAUUCUUCCACUUGACGCACAUGGAAUAGUUAGAUAACUUAUGAGUGACUAACAACUUAAAAAUGACCAUAAACCUUGUUUGUCACUUACCAAGUUUAACAGUUAUGUAACAGUUGCCUAAUUAGAAAAUAAUAUUAUACGAAUCAUAGCGGUUAUGUUUUCAUUGCAAACACUUCCUUCGAUGUAUUACAAUGUAUUAUACUUCCUAAUUAAGUACUUUGAAAGAACUUUAUGAAUAACUUCAUAUAAAUUAUUCAGGGUCCAACUUUAUGGAUCACAUGAUCCUUAUUUUAUACAUGAAUAACAAUGUGCACAAAAUCAUGUAAACAUAAGUAUCUCGAGUGUCUAGACAAUAACAAUAGUUUGAGAAUAAUAGCAAAAUACUAAAUGAACUAUUGAGUUCUAUAUGAGUUAUUUGAUCAUUAACAACUCAGCCGGCAACCUUAAGUUGUUUGAUCAACAAUAAUAACUCCUUUUUUUUCUUUAUUUUUUUUAGUGUAAGCAAGAGAAUUUGAAUCCGAGACCUCAUGCUUACACUCCCUCCUCCCGUACCAUCCAACCCAUCCCUCCCCCCCACUCCUUACUGUAUACUUAAUAGCUACCUUUUACUUUCGAAAUAACUAUUGAAUACCUUAUGUCGACUUACCUAUCUUGACUCUCACUUUUUCAUGUAUACAUAAUGAAAGCGUAUAGUCAAAUUGAAUAUCUAUAGUGGUCAAAAUACAAUAUUGACAAACUUUAUGCCAAACAAUAGAUGCCUGUGGUAUACCUUCAUAGCAUCUUUGGUGAAUUUAUAUUCAUUCCAAUGCAUGAUAUGAACAUUAUGCAACUGUUCACUAUUAUUACUUAAAUGUAAUCAAAGAACUCUUGCAUGAAGGUCUUAAAAUAGAUUAACUAUCUUUUACAUUCUACUUUGUGAAUAUCAAUGAUAGAAGGGUAUCACAAAUAUCAUGAUUGAUAAAAACUCUCAUAGUAUUACUCCCAAUAAUCUUAAUAUAUAUUAAUUUAUUAGAAAAAUUCUUCUUAGAUCAAAUGAAGAAUAAAUUAAUAUACUAUUGAGGAGCAACAAUUUGAUUUAAAUUGUAUUCUCUACAAAUGUAUUAUGGUGACACAUAUGUACACCUAAUUAUCAAGAAUCAUGUGAAGGACAUUUGUUUUCAUAUUUAUCUAAUGUAACUCUAAUAGUGAGUUACUAGUGCCAUAAUUACCCUAAAUAAAGUCUCUCAAAAUUUGGUAGAGAUUUUAUUGUAAUUUGUGACAUUAUUCCUGAAUAUGGAGAUUUCUCCAUUCGUACCUUAUGAAAACAUUACACAAUUUAUCCUUAAACUCUUGCAGAUAUACAAUAUAGUAACUAGAGAACUUCAAUUCUCUAUAGAGAACAUUUUGCCUCCCAUUGUCUCAAAGAUAACUCAACCAGUGGGUUCUAAGUGGAUUUAUCUUUAUGUGUUUAUUUGACAAGGAAUUUUUCAAUUGAUUGCUUAUCUAAAAUAAUUAAAUAAUUAUUUUGACAAAAGCUAUCAAUUUUCCAUAUGCAAAGGAGUCAAAAAUGAAUCCUUACCUUUUUAAAACUCCAUUCUAGAGUCAAAACACUCCUACUUCAUGUUCUUAAGAAAUUUAAUCUCCAAUUUAAUAAUUCUUGAUGUGUAAAAAAAUCUAAAUUUCUUGGAGCAAGAUAGCAUUGUUUCCUUUGUACAACUUCUUUAUGUGUAGGUUGAUUACCCUCACAAAACUGAACAUAAUAUUGUAAACUUGAUUUCCAUCCAUACCACAAUCAAAGUGGCAUUUAAACAACAUUGGAGGAAAUUGUUUAAACAUAUACUUCAGUUUCAAGGCAUUACUCACAAGAUAUAAAAAUUACCAAUAUGCUAUAUCCAAAAGUAUCUCAUUAUUUUCUUAAGGUACACCAUUUGGAUGUAACCAAUCAAGCAUUGCUUUUAUUCAUUAGCAAUGUUUCUGUCAGGAUGCAGAAGUUAAGCCAUCAUGCGGCAUCGUUUUGUAACUAAUCAAACAAAUCAGUAGGGAGAGGGAUAAGUGCAACGGUGUCGUUUCAUGAUCAAUUAGUAGCAUUCAGAAUAAGUGAAACGGUGGCGUUUCAUGCGUAUCAAUUCAGUUUAUCAAUUCAGUUAGGAUUAGUUAGAGUCGGUUAACCACACUUAUUUGUACGUAAACAUUCAACAGAAUUGGCAGGCAAGAAGAAUCGCAGAAUCUCAUUCUUUUCAUUCUUUCUCUCACUAAUUCUGAUUCUCUCUCUUUUCUACUCUGUUUUCUCUCUAGUUCUCUCUCAUCUACUCUUUCUUUCCCCAAAUUCGAGUGUAGAAUCCCUAAUGCUGAAUCCAGGAUCCUGACAUUUGGUAUCAGAGCAGGACGGAUCCUUGGAGGAAGUAGAAUUCCAUGGCAGAAAGCACCAGGUUCAAAACCUUGGAGGAACAAAUCAAGAAGCAAGAUCUCAAGCUCCAGGAAGUAAUGGAAGGAUUGCAAGCCUCGCAGGCACAACAGAUGCGAAUGAGGGAGGAAUUUCGAACGGAAUUGGAAGGGAGCAACCUGAGGAUGGAAGGUUUGGUAGCAGAAAUGAAGCAAGAACUCAGCACCUUUAUGAAGGCACUGGUGAACAAGGAGAAGGCGGCAUUAGAGGAAGACAGGUUGAGAAUCGAGCAAACACCGCUGUUGCCAACUCCACCAAUGAAUCAGAGGCUACCAGUAGGGGCUGAUAACAUCAGGAUGACCAGGAAAGAGGUAGGUAGGUUCUUAGCCCCUAAUCCUCCAAAAAUUGACUUGCCUAUGUUCAGUGGGGAGAAUCCGAGGGAAUGGAUUAGAAAAUGCAACAAGUAUUGUUUAAACUAUCAAAUUCCUGAAGAUCAUAAAAUGGAAGUUAUAGAAAUGUACUUAGAGGGAAGGGCAGAUAACUGGUUUCAAGGAGUAAAACUGGAGAAACCAGGUCUAGUAUGGGGCAACUUCGUAGAACUGUUGUACAAAAGGUUUGACAACAGAUGUGGCAGGGAUGUGGUAGAAGAAUUUAAUAAACUGCAACAAUCAGGACAGGUGGAGGAAUACCAGGAAAAGUUUGAAGAGCUCAAGACCCUUAUGAUGCUUAAGAAUCCCUAUCUAGGCGAGGAAUACUUUGUAUCUAGCUUCAUCAGUGGACUCAAGAAUGAGAUCAGGACAAUGGUGAAAAUGUUGAAACCUGCAACGUUGUCCGAAGCCCUUGAGAUGGCUGUAUUACAAGAAGAUGCGUUGAAACUCCAGGCCAGAAGCUGGAAAACUGCACCUGAAGGCAGGUUUGGAAUUUCUAGGAGUCCUUCCCAACAACAGAGCCAUAGUCCUCACUAUAAAGUUCCUUCUAUCAGUACCUUCAGGAAUACCUCUUUCAAAGGGAAGCCAAUUUCUGCUGCAGAUACUGAACCUAAAAGGCUAUCAGCUCAGGAGUUACAGUACAGGAGGAGCCAUGGACUUUGUUUCAAGUGUGGAGAAAAAUUUGGACAAGGUCAUCAGUGCAAAUCAGGUCACCUAAAUCUUUUGGUCACAGAAGAGGAAGAGGAUUCAGAGUUUGAGGAUGCAGUAGGUGAACAAGAUGAAGCCACGGGCAAUCCUGGACAGAUCAUGGAAAUGUCUCUUCAUACGCUGUCAGAUGCAUUGCAAAGGAAGACCAUAACACUGGUAGGAAAACUGGAUGGGGAGGAAAUGCUGAUACUAGUCGACACUGGAAGCUCAGACAGCUACAUCAGCAGUGAAAAGGUAAUUGCCUUUGAUGUUCCUUAUCGAAUGGUUGAACCUUUCUCUGUGGUAGUAGGUAAUGGGGCUUGUGUAACUAGUAAGGCCAUAUGUCCUAAGGUGGUAUGGGAGAUCAAUCAGUACAAAUUCUGCUAUGAUUUAAAGGUAAUGGACCUGAGUGGCUGGGAUAUCGUUUUGGGGGUGGACUGGAUGACUCGCUUUAGUCCAAUUACUUUUGAUUUUCACCAAUUAACAAUCUCUCUGCACAAUCAAGGGGAAGUAGUUCAGCUAAGGGGACAAGCUGAGAAUUGUGACUUGGAUCUUAUUAGGGGGAGUGAUCUAAGGAAUUUUAUUGAAUAUAAGAAGCAAAUGUGUCUAGCAAUGAGGAUGGGACAGAAUGGGAAAUCAGAGAAGGGGAAUAUGCCUACUGAAGUUCAAGGCAUCAUUGAUGGCUUUGCUGAUGUUUUUGAGACGCCCUCUGACCUUCCCCCUGCCAGGGAAAUAGAUCAUGAGAUACCUCUAAAACAGGGGUCUCAGGCUUUUAAAAUGAAGCCAUAUAGGUACCCUCAUUCCCAGAAGAGUGAGAUAGAACAACAGGUCACAGACAUGUUGCAGCAUGGGAUUAUCAUUCACAGCAACAGUCCCUUUGCCUCACCAGUGCUUUUGGUUAAAAAGAAGGAAGGGACAUGGCGUUUUUGUGUGGAUUACAGGCGCCUGAAUGAAAUGACCAUCAAAGAUAACUAUCCCAUUCCAAACGUAGAUGAAUUAAUCAAUGAGUUAGCAGGCUCAAGGUAUAAAUCUAAGCUGGAUCUCACUUCUGGCUACCAUCAGAUCAGAGUCAAACCCAAGGACACUUACAAAACUGCCUUCCAAACUCACUGUGGCCAUUAUGAGUUCCUGGUAAUGCCUUUCGGACUGACUAACGCACCUGCAACCUUUCAGGCCCUUAUGAAUCAAGUAUUUCAACCCUAUCUAAGGAAAUUCGUGUUGGUUUUCUUUGAUGAUAUUUUAAUAUACAGUCCCACCCUGGAAUUACACCUAGAGCAUCUGAGGAUAGUCCUGACAGUGUUGAGGGACCACAAACUGUUUGCUAAGAGAUCAAAAUGCUCAUUUGCACAACAUACUGUGGAUUACCUUGGUCACACUAUCUCUGAGAAUGUAGUGUCCAUGGAUCAGUCCAAGGUGGAGAGCAUUAUCAACUGGCCUGUCCCUAGUACAAUUAAAGAGUUGAGAGGAUUUUUGGGGUUAACUGGCUAUUACAGGAGAUUUAUCAAGCAAUAUGGCAUUAUCUGCAAACCACUUACUAUGUUGCUCAAGAAGGACAAUUUCUGUUGGAACGAGGAAGCACAGAAGGCCUUCACAUCACUGAAACAUAUUAUGAGUACUGCUCCUGUUCUCAAGCUGCCAGAUUUUCAGAAGCCUUUCACAAUCGAAACUGAUGCUAGUGGGAGUGGCAUUGGAGCUGUAUUGAUGCAAGAAGGCCAUCCCAUUGCAUUCCUGAGCAAGGCUUUGUCUCCCAGAAAUUUGGGACUGUCAGCUUAUGAGAAGGAACUGCUAGCAUUAGUGAUGGCAGUUUCCAAGUGGAGGCAUUAUUUGGUGGGAUAUCACUUUAUUAUUAAGACAGAUCAUCAAUCCCUGAAGUAUUUGUUAGAUCAAAAGCUCACUACUACAUUACAACACAAAUGGUUAGCCAAGCUGCUGGGGCUGGACUAUGAAAUUCAAUACAAGAAGGGGACAGAAAAUAAGGCAGCUGAUGCAUUGUCCAGAUUACAUGGUACGACUCAAGAACACUCUACUCAACCAGGAUCAUGUUUUGCCCUUUCAACUGUCCAACCACUGUGGAUACAAGAACUCCAGAAAAGCUAUGAGUCAGAUUCUCAAUGCCAGGACAUUAUUUCUCAGCUACUGCUGGACCCGCAAGCUCACCAACCUUUUGAGUGGGACAAGGGAUUGCUGAAGUACAAUGGCAAACUUUAUGUAGGCUCAACCAGUGGAUUGAGGGACAAGCUCAUCCAAGCACUCCAUGCAUCAGCAGUGGGGGGCCACUCGGGACAAAGGGGCUGUUGGCAGAAGUUAAAAGCUUUGUUCUAUUGGCCUACGAUGAAGAAGGAUGUUAUCAGACUUAUUCAGGCCUGUGAUACAUGUCAGAGGUACAAAUCUGAGCAUGUGCACUACCCUGGUCUAUUGCAACCAUUGCCAGUUCCUCGCAUGGCUUGGACUCAUGUGACUAUGGACUUCAUAGAGAGUCUGCCAGAGUCACAAGGCUAUGACACAGUAAUGGUGGUGAUCGACAGAUUCACCAAGGUGGGACAUUUUCUCGCAUUAGCGCAUCCAUUCUCUGCCAAGCAAGUGGCUCAACUCUUCAUGGAUCACAUAUUCAGGUUACAUGGCAUCCCAGAAUCUAUAGUAUCUGAUAGAGAUAGGAUCUUUACAAGUGUUUUCUGGCAGGAACUUUUUAAGUUACUAGGUACGGAAUUGAGUUAUAGCUCAGCCUAUCACCCUCAGUCUGAUGGGCAGACUGAACGUCUCAACCAGUGUGUCGAAGCCUACCUGAGAUGCAUGACUGGGGAAUUACCCCAUCGCUGGAACAGGUGGCUAGCACUAGCUGAAUGGUGGUACAACUCCUCCUAUCACUCCAGUCUGCAAAUGACUCCAUUCGAAGCCUUGUAUGGGUACCAGCCUAUUCCCUUGCCUUUAGGACCUCAUUUUGACACGAUCAUACCAGCUGCUUCCCACCUACUCCAGGAGAGAUUGAGGGUCUCCAGCAGCAUCAGGGAUCACCUCCUCAAGGCACAACAGAGAAUGAAGUUCUUUGCUGACCAGAAACGUACUGAACGAACUUUUGAGGUGGGUGACUGGGUUUUCCUGAAGCUUCAACCCUAUAGACAGCAGUCAGUGGCUAUCAGGAAGUGCCUCAAGCUGUCUGCAAGGUUCUAUGGCCCUUUUCAGGUGGUAGCUAAAGUAGGGGCAGUGGCUUAUCGUCUUGCAUUACCUGCACAGGCAAAGAUUCACCCCGUAUUUCACGUCUCUUUGCUUAAGAAGAAAUUGGGACCUCUGCAGCCUAUUUCAACGACACUGCCUGAGAUUGAUAUUGAUGACCAGUGUCCUCUACAACCAGAAUCCAUUUUGCAACGGAGGGUGAUCAUGCGAAAUGGACAAUCAGUGAUACAAUACCUCAUCAAAUGGUGCCAACUCGAUCAGGAUGAAGCUUCUUGGGAAGACAAAGACUUCAUACACGCGCAAUUCCCUCAGUUUCAGUCUUGAGGACAAGACUGUUAAAGGGGAGAGCAAUGUCAGGAUGCAGAAGUUAAGCCAUCAUGCGGCAUCGUUUUGUAACUAAUCAAACAAAUCAGUAGGGAGAGGGAUAAGUGCAACGGUGUCGUUUCAUGAUCAAUUAGUAGCAUUCAGAAUAAGUGAAACAGUGGCGUUUCAUGCGUAUCAAUUCAGUUUAUCAAUUCAGUUAGGAUUAGUUAGAGUCGGUUAACCACACUUAUUUGUACGUAAACAUUCAACAGAAUUGGCAGGCAAGAAGAAUCGCAGAAUCUCAUUCUUUUCAUUCUUUCUCUCACUAAUUCUGAUUCUCUCUCUUUUCUACUCUGUUUUCUCUCUAGUUCUCUCUCAUCUACUCUUUCUUUCCCCAAAUUCGAGUGUAGAAUCCCUAAUGCUGAAUCCAGGAUCCUGACAGUUUCCUAAUUAAUGAGCACAAAUAGGAUAGCCCUUUAUUUUGUGCCUUCAUUUUAUUUUCUAUCUUUCAAAUUUCAAAUUUCCUUUCUCGUUUGAACACUUGUAAAGAUAUCAAAUAUUGAUCCUUUAUCAAAUAAGAAAGGAACUUUAUAUUUGAUGAAUGGUUACCUAAUAAUGAGGUAAAUAUCUCUCACCAAUAAAAAAGGAUAGAAAAUAAUUCACAAAAUUUUAGUGUUAUAAUAAAACUCUUAUGGCAUCCAUAAUGGUUGAGUAGUCUACUUUACUUAUGCAGUCUACUUGAAAUAUUAUAGUCAAUAAAUCUAAAAUCUUUAAAGAUUUAUUAUUUAUCAACUCUUUAUUUCAUUAUAGAGAUAUAUCUCAAUCUCUUAUGCCAAAAUUUAAGGAGUUUCCCUAGUGAUAAACAUACUUGCUGCCAAUAUAAUUAUUGUGGUCAAGUGCAGUAUAUUGCUCAAUUUAAAGGAUGAUACUGAAAACUUUAGAAUUAAUAACUUCACUAUUUUUAAAAUCUACUACUGGAUAAUGAGGUUCAUAAUCAUACCCAAUAGUAAUUAAUUUGAAAAUAGAAAUUCUAACGUAAUAAGAAAAUAAUGUUUUAGAAAAACAAAUUUUCUUGAAAUGAGCAAUAAUACAUCACUUAUCUUAUGUAAGACUUGCCUCCUUUUGAGGCAAUUAUGACCCAUGAUAAGUGCAUGUUUUGUGUGUUUUUAGUGUGUUUUAUUAAUUAGUUUUGGUGUUUUUAAUUAGUUUUAUAGCUUAUGAACUAAGUUUCUAGUGAAAAUAUGCAUUUUGUGGUUUUAAGUGGUAAAAAUUGUAUUUCUAUUGAAUUUAAUUGUGAAAAUUUCAUGUUUUUAUAGGUUUAAUGAUUCAAUCAUUAAAUGGCAUGAAUUGAGAAGAUAAUUGGAUGAUUGAUGAUGGUUUGAAGUGAUAAAAAGAGAAUAUGAAGUGCAAAAGAUGAAAUGCAAUUAAAGGAGUUUUCCAGCUUUGACACCUAUUGGUAUUUCAGCUAUUUCUUGACAUUCACGUAUUGGAUUGAGGUAAUUUUUGAAUUUUUUUUAAUCGAAGAGAUAUAUAUACAUUUGGUAUGAAGAUAUCGAAGUCUAGUUUAGUGGUUUUCCUAGUCAAAAUGUCAAAAUACAGAAGUGCAAUUUUGUUGUCGAAAGCUGAAAUAGAGUUUUGACUAGUAGAGGGUAUUUUGGUCAUUUAAUGGUUCACAUAGCUCCAAAUUGGAUGAAUCUUGAGGCAUUGGAAACAUAACUCAAAGGGCUACAACUUUCGUGUUUUACACAAGAGUUAGUUCAGUCUCCAUCAUCAAGAAAAUAUAUGUGAAAGUUGGUGCAAAAACAGAGCAAACAUGAAAUCCCCCCAGAAUGAGCAAUCCUGUAAAAGAGCAAAAUAUGGUACAAUAUGCAACCUCAGGCCGCAUUUUCGAGGUUGUGAAUUCAUGUUUUGCGGUUGCAACUUGCUCUACAAUUUGUGCUUUAUUCACACAACCUUUUUGACCAACUUUUCUGCAAAGAUUCCUACUGGAAAUGAGCAGAUGAGCAUGGAAACUUUGAGAGGCAACCUUUGAGAGUUUCAAGAAGCAAUUUUGCCAACUAGAAACAACUCAUCUUAAGUUUGAAUCUCUCUAUAAAUAGAGACCUUGGAGAACACUUUUCACAACUUUGGAAGGCUAGAAAAACUCCACAAAAAUGUAGUCUUCACUAGUUUUUCUUAGUUUAUUAGUAUAGUAUAGUUAAAGCAGUUUAUCUUUCUUGAAUUUGUAGUUAGAUUUGAAUGAAGAUUUGAGGAGCAAAGAUGGAGAGGUUGAAACUCAUGUGGCAAGGGUGAUUUCUCUCCUAUCACUUUCUCUUUUGUAUUUGGUUUCAUGUUUAGCUAUAAUAUAAGUUUGGUAUUUGUUUUCAUGUUUAGUUAAAGUUUAUGCCUAGAGUUAUGGAUGAACUUUCUAUAUCUUGUUAGUAAUGUUUACUUGGUUAUUUGAUGAUAUUAUUUUGAACAAGUUAUUUAUCACUUUUGCUUUUCUAAUCAUGAUUAACCGGCCAUUAAUUAUCACAAUCUUAAGGUGUUAAGUUUGCAAUGAGAAUUGGGAUUUAACACUAAUAAAGUCAAGCUAUGACAUAUCAUAAGACUUUUAAGUACCUAAAUAUCCUCUUGGCUGCUGUUUUAUAAAACAUACAUGGCUAUUGAUCCUUGCUUGAACCAUGAUCUUAAGGUUAUGGCUUUUUCAGUACUAAUGGUGUGACAAUUCAUACUUGGUUUAUGGGCUUGCUCUCAUUAAAGAAUGCACGUUUCUCAAUUAUUGACGUUGAUCUAUUUUCAUUUUCUUUUCCCAGAGGUGGAGAUAAAUUCCACUUCCACUUAAAUUGGAGGGUUGUGCAUAUGCAGUUCCUAAUUUUAUACACUAUUCAUUGAGAAUAUGCUCCAUGCAUGUUAUAAAGUAAUUGAACAUGAAACUUCAAAUCAAUUAAAAUUGUUCAUUGGAGAAGGUUUGUGCAAAAGAAUUUGGUUAUGGUUCCCAAAUACUAUGAUCAUAUCAACCGUAGAAUUUGUAUGCAUGAUUUAAUUGUCACUGACAAAGUUUGAUUUAUGGAAUUUAUUGAGCAAGUUAUGCAAAAUGAAAGCCAAAAGAAGGAUAAAGUAAUCAAGUUUGCUUUGCAUUGAGGGAUAAAUUAAGGUUUUGGCCUCUCUCUGCGGUUAAACUUGACAUAUUCUAAAUGAUGUCUUUUAGAACUUCAUGAAUACAAGUGCAACUUAUUUAACUUUGAUCUUCUAUGAAUGACAUGAAAAAGCUUAUGUGCAUAAAGUUUUUGUCUCAGUUAAACAAUUCAUGAAUUAUAAUGAAUGGUAUAAUCAAAGUGAUCUUUAUUAUAUUUAUAGAAUUAUUUAAUAAGGAUCUUGAGAUGUUCAUGUUUUGAAAUUCUAUGAUGAUUUCGACUUGGGUUUUUAUUAAAAGUUGAAAUUGUCACUUGAGAUAUGAAUCUUUGGUGUAAUAUUUAGAGUAGCCAUCUUGGUUCAUGUAUUUAUAAAAAUACUAGGAGGAAGUGCCCGCACAUCGCGCCGGUGUUUGGUGCUUUUGGUUGUAGAGAAUUUUUCAUUGGACAAAUAAUAGUACAUUUUGGAAAGAAAUAGUCAUCAUAUAUGACAAAGUUAAUAAUAGUACAUUCUAAUUGCAACAUACACUUAUACACUUAUACACUUUGCUUUGUCAAUACUUUUAUAAUUUUACCAUUCCCAAAAUACUCUUACAGAUGUCAAUUGAAAAUCAUCUAAGAGCUGAUAUAGGUUGUUUCAAACAAAGAAAUAUCCUCUAACGGCUAGUUAUAGUAACGUGUUAAUUACACAAUGUGUUAAUAUGUCUUUGUGUUAAUUGCACAACAAAAGCCACACUUCAAUUAAAUGUGUCUAUACUACCGUUUCAAUAGUUAUACCAACACAUAAACUUAUAUGAGUUGUAUUCGAUGCAAAAAUGGUUAAUUCCAUAUUUCAGAAAUAUUCAGAUGUCUGCAUAAAUGAAAACUUUAAAUGUACCAAAAUGAGGGCAUUUCAAUAAAUAUACUUAAACACAUGUAAUCCUCAAUUGUACCAAAAGUUUUAAAAAAAUUAUACAACAUUCUAUAUUCUCAAAAAGCCCUUAUCCAUGCGGUUGAAAUUUAAAUCCCGUUUGACCACUACUCAUUUUUAUAUAGUAUAAGGAUGUCAUAUAUUUCCUUUUGUCCAUGUUUUCAAUGGCACGAUUAAAUUUUUUAGCAAAUUGGACAAAGGAUUUGGGAUUUACUUUGUGCAAACAAGUUUUAGUUUGCUAAUGUCAUAAUUAGAUUUAUUAUCUAUUGACAUAAAAUAUUGUCUCAGUUGAAUGAUUUAAUGGAUUAUUACAAUUAGUACCACCAAAGUUGCUAUUAUUUUAAUUCAUAAAAUUAUUCGACAAAGAUUCUAGGAUGUUUGUCUUCUGAAAUUUUUAUCAUAAUUACCUGCCCCAAGGGGGUAUUUAUGCAUAUUAAUUUUGGAAGGGUCAAGUGAUCACAUGGUACAUUUAUGAUUAUAUAUAUGGUAUUUAUCCCAGUUAAAUAGUAUACUAAAUUAUUAUUACUGAUACACUGAAGUGACCAUUAUCAUAAUUCAUAAAUUUAUUUAAUAAGGAUCCUGAGAUUCUUGUCUUUUAUAAUUAUAUUAUAUGAUUAUCUAACCGAAGGUGAUAAUCAUAUAUAUAUUAUUUUAAAAGGAUUGAGUGUGUGAUGAGGGAAAAUUAUGACCUCAAAAGAGGUCUAUCUACUUGAAAUACAUUAGUUCUUCUAAAGUUAUCUCACUGUUUCACUUGAGUGGGAGGUUUAUGCUAUCCAAAGAACACUCUUUAGAAAUAGAAUUUAUCUUCCACAUGAAUAUUGCCAUUAAUUGCUCACCUAUUAUUAUUGCUUCAAGUGUGUGAUAUAUCUUCGAAUAUAAUUGUUUAAAGUUUGCAAUAUUUGUGUGAACAAUUGUCAUUUUGUUGUUGUUUUGUUUGGCAAUAUUGUUUUGAGAUGGAAAAGUAAAGUUGAGUUUACUACUUAGCUUGGUUGAUCUUGCUAUUAUUGUACUUCAAGUAAAGUUUCUAAAGUCCUAUAAUUACGGUUUAACAUAGAAAAGGCCUGUUUUAGAGGAUAAAUUAAAAUAUUAAGAUUAUGCAAAAAUUUGCCCUUUGGCCUUUUUCAAAGUACCAUGAUAAUUCAAACUGUUGAUCAAUUUUGUUUGAGUUCAUUGAGCAACAAUUUUAUAAAUAUGGAAGAUCUAAAGUUAUAGUUUCAAUGAGCAUUAAUAGACAGUUUUGUCUGUUAGAUUAUUGAAGAAGAACUUUUCUUAAGACCAUGUAAAACUGCGUAUCUUCUUGACCAUUAUAAAGUACAAUUUUUGUUGUCCACCGAAUUAAAGGUUCCACUUUCUUUCAAUAAUUUGGGUUCAAUUUUAUAUUUAUAUUCAAGUGUCAAUAAGUGGUUGACAUAUAUCUACCAAUUGGGGUGAAUAAUAAAUGAGGGGAAGUUAAGAAAGCUUCCAUUGGUCCAACUCAUAAUUUUGACAUUAAAAAUACUAAAUGUCAAUUUUAGGGUGCUUCAAGUUUUAUGAGCUCAAGUUGUACAAAAAAUUAACAUAAUUUAUUUUUCUUUUAAUUGUUUUAAAUUAACCUUUGCUGCAUCACGCCCUAUUAGCGGGGAAUCUUCCAUGACUGUAUUGCACUUUGCAGCAGCUGAAGCUGUUCCAAGGGGAAUUGCAUCGCAAAUGGCAAGCGCCGCAAUUGGAAACAGUUGAUACGGCAUUGGCGAACAAUCUCGCGUCGGUGCAACCAACUAAUAAUAAAAACGACAUGGGCGUCCUCGAAUGUCUUCGCUACAGGUUCGUGAGCAUUCUCAAACUACUUAUGGUUUAUGCUUCCAACUCAAAUCCAAUUAAUUUUUUAGUUUGGAACAUACGGGGAGCUUCUCGCAUGGACUCCCUUCGUUAGCUAAAUAAGUAGAUUCGAGAAAAUUCGGUUCGUUUAGUGGUUCUUUUAGAACCAAUGUCUGACUUUAAUCAAUUGGAGGUUGUUAAGCACUUUCUUCGUUUUGAUAAGGCAGCAGGUUUUGCUCAAGAUAAAAUUUGGUGCCUAUGGGGUGAGGAGUUUGGUAUCGUGUUUAUAGAACACGCCGAACAGCUAGCCCAUGCUAGGAUCAUGUUUCGUUCUGGUUUUUCUUUUGAGUCUUCGGGAGUGUAUGCAAAGUGCACUAGAGUUGGUAGGAGACCCCUUUGGGAAGCUAUGGAGUUGUUGAACGGUGAUAUGGUGAGACCUUGGAUGGCAGUGGGAGACUUUAAUGUUGUCUCCUCUGCGGGGGAACAAGUGGGCGGUUCUUCUGUGAACAUGCGAAAUGUUGAUGAGUUUAAUACGGCUAUGUUUAAUUAUGGGUUAGCUUCAAUGGAGUUUGAGGGGCAACCUUUUACUUGGACAAAUGGUGUCAUGUGGCAAAGAUUGGAUCGGGCUCUAGUCAAUGCUCGAUGGAUGGAUUGCUAUCCUGUCACAAAGGUUAUGCACUUGGCUCGUGGACGGUCAGAUCACUCGCCUCUACUAAUUAAGUGUAAGGAUGACAGAGUAAGAUGUUCUUCUUUUCACUUCCUCAACUUUUGGAGUACUCAUCACCAGUUCAUGGGAGUGGUGGCGGAGGAUGGCAAAAACCGGUCUCCGAGAUAGGCAUGGUUGGUUUUGCUCAGAAGCAAAAGCUGGUUUGAUGGCGGUUAUGCUUUUGGAAUCAUGAUGUCUUUGGAAAUAUCUUCUCCAAGGUGAAAACAGCCGAGGAGAACUACAAGCUAAGGGAAGUGGAGUUUGAUACCAACAAAGACGAUUUGUCAAGGUUGCGGUUGAAUAAAGCCCGACCUGUUUUCUCCCGUGAACUUGUGGUGGAAUGUUCUUAUUGGCGCCAAAAGUCGAAUAUCAGAUGGUUGAAAGAAGGGGAUGCUAACACAGCGUUCUUCCAUGGGGUUGUUAGGCAAAGGAGAAAUAUGAAUUUUAUCUCGGGUCAAAGAGAAGGAUGGCUCGUGGGUAGAUUCCGUGGGGCUUAUUCAAGUGUCAGCAAUAGCUUUUAAUUCUCAACUAUUUGAAUCGGAAGGUCGACCUAGAGCCCCUCAAUUUAAUUUUGAGGUCCCCAAGGUGACGGAUGUGGAUAAUGCCAUGCUUCUUGCACUUCCUUCGUUAACGGAGUUAAAAGAGGUGGUAUUUUCAAUGGACAUCAAUAGCACGCCUGGGCUAGAUAGAUUUGGAGCUGGAUUUUAUCAGUUAUGCUGGGAUAUCAUCAAAGUGGAUCUGUUGCAAGUAAUACAUGAUUUUUUUUUUCCUGGGAGUAGAGCAACCCAAGUACUAGUCUAGUUCCCUCCUACUUCUCCUUCCAAAAAUUGAUGGAGCUCAUCAAUGGAAGGAUUUCCGUCCAAUUAGUCUAUGUAAUGUGUCUUCAAAAAUUAUCUCUAAAGUUAUAGCAAAUCGGAUUGGUUGGUUGCUCCCUUCUCUUAUUUCUUCGUGGCAAACGGGGUUUGUACCGGGUAGGGGUAUUGUUGAUAACGUGCUAUUGGCCCAAGAGUUGAUUUUGGAUUUGGACAGACAACUAAGCAUUCCAAAUGUUAUUCUCAAGCUUGACAUGAAGAAGGCUUAUGAUCAAAUGGAAUGGUCCUUUCUGAAUACUAUGUUGCGAAUGUUCGAUUUUGGAGAACAGGUAGUUAAUUUACUGUUCCGAACAUUCGCGAACUCAUGGUUUUUGGUCCUAAUCAAUGGUGAACCUUCAGGUUUUUUUAAAUCCACGAGAGGGGUUAGAAAAGGGGAUCCCCUAUUUCAAACCUUGUUUCUGUUCGUGGAGAAGUUUCUCGGCCGAGGGCUACAUCAGUUGUUCUUGGGAAAUGAGCAAUGGUUCUAUGGUUCGGCUGGGGGUAAGGUUCCCUACCUUGCUUUUGCUAACGACCCUAUCAUUUUCACUAGGUGUGCUGCAGGGUGUUUACAGGCUAUACUUGAUUUUCUGGGGAACUGUCAGUCUUAUUCGGGACAAAAAGUUAAUAUAAAUAAAAGCUCCUUUGUUUGUUCUCCUCGAGCUAGGGCUGAGCAUUUGACUUUGGUAUCUUCUAUCCUUGGUUUUUGUCAGCAGUCUUUUCUGAUGCAAUAUUUGGGGUUCCCGCUGGUGAAGGGUUAGUUGAAAUGUAUGGUGUUCGACGGUCUUAUUUCAAAAAUUUCGGCAGCCCCUCUUCCAUUGGAGUUCCAAAUUGCUCGACAUGGGAGGCAAAAAUGUCCUCAUCCGACAUGUGCUAAGUUCUCUCCCCAUGUAUUUGUUGCAAGGGGUGCAGCCUCCUAAGGCAGUAUUAAGGACGCUUGGGAGGAUUUGCAACUUUUUCUUGUGGGACAAUAGUGCGGAGUCAAAGCUGCUUCAUUAGGUUGUGUGGGACUGGUUGUGUUUUCCCGAGGAAGAAGGGGGGGUUGGGGUUCUGAUCUUUCUCAGAUGUCUCACGUGCCUUUGCAUGUAAAUUGUGGUGGCGGCUAAGAAAGCACGAGUCAAUAUGGCCCAAGUUUAUGCACCAAAAGUAUAUUAGAGGAGUUCACCCUUCGAUGGUGGUUGUCUAUCGACCCUCUGUGGGGUGGAGACGUCUCCAGGAAAUUUGACUCGUUGCUGAAAGUCAGAUUCAGUGGUCUUUAGGUAAAGGAUUGGUUGAUUUUUGGCAUGAUGCAUGAUACAUAAUGCUUCAACCAGCUUUUGGCUAAGCUAACUGGGGUUGCUGACCCCCCAUAUGCUUGUGGGAGAGUUCUAUGAUGCUCAAGGGUGGAAUGAACAGCGGCUUCGACGUUGGUUAUCUCCAUUUCUGAUUGCCUAUGUUUUCCAAAUUCCAUUCUCAAGACAUCAGGAGGAUCGCAUUGUGUGCGCUCUAGCUCCCUCUGGGGAAUUCUCCGUGUCAUCUGCCUGGGAGGAGGUUCGCCAGAGAAGGAGCCUGUCAUUGGUUGAUAGUUUUCUGUGGAACUCUGUCACCCCAAUUAAGAUCUCCUUUUUCGCCUGGCGGCUUGUGUGCCGGUAGCUUCCUAUUGAUGAGAUAAUCCAGAAGCGUUCGAUUUGGUGUCUGGAUGUUACUGUUGUAGCACAGAUGUAGAAUCAGUUCAGCACCUUUUUGUGGAGGGUCCCUUGGUGAUGACUGUAUGGGGUUUCUUUGCGCGUCAGUUUGGAAUUUAAAACCUGAGGAGCAGAGACGUCUCGUCGAUGUUAGUAGCUUGGUUCUUGUCAAGAAUUAUAAGUGAUGCGACGUAGUUUGGAGCAUUACGGCAUUGUUUUGAAGAUUACCAGGAGAAAUAAGUAGUGCGACGUAGUUGGGUAUGAGUUCAUAUUCUUGCAAGAAACGGUGCCGUUGCACUGAAAUUUAGUUAGGAAAUCUGUUAUAUUUGUUUCAGUUAGUUACAAAGUCGGUUAGCAUUGAUGAAGUGUAAAUAAUGCUAUAAAUAGCAAAAAGGUGAAGAAAGGCAGUAGUCAGAUUCAUAAUUAGAUUUUUCAAAUGAAAAUAUCUUCUCAUUCCUCUUAAUUAGAAAUCUCUUGAUUUCAUGCAAUAGGCUCAUAUUGUUGCUGACAAGUAAAAUGUCAUCAACAUACAAUAACAAAAAUAUAUACUUCCUCCCAUAGAACUUAUGAUAUAUACAAGCAUCUACUAAAUUCAUUUCAAAACUAAAUGAGAUGAUCACUUAAUGAAAUUUGAAAUACCAUUGUCGAGACGUUUGUUUGACCUCUAUAGAUGAAUUUUUUAAUUUUACAAAUCAUAUUUUUUUAGAUCUCCUAAUACAAAAUUUUCUGGUUACACCAUAUAAAUUGUCUCAUCAAUGUUACCAUUGAGAAACAUUGUCUUUACAUCCAUCUGGUGUAACUCAAGAUCAAAAUAUGCCACUAAUGCCAUGAUAAUUCUAAAAGAGUUAUUUGAAGAGAUCGGAGAGAAGGUUUCUUUAUAGUCGAUGCCUUCUUUUUGUGUAUAUCUCUUGACGACAAGAUGAGUUUUAUAUCUUGUCACAUUGCUUUUCGAAUCCCUUUUGAUUUUAAAUAUCCACUUACAACCAAUGGAUUUUUCUGACAAUGGGACAAGAUCCCAAAUAUCAUUGUCUUUCAUGAAUUUAAUCUCCUCAUUCAUGGUAUCGAUCCACUUUUGAGAAUUUAAACUUUUCAUGACUUGACGGAAGUUAAUUGGAUCAUCUUCCAUCAAUCCAGUAUCAUCCUCGUAUUCCUGGAGAAAGACAAUAUAAUCAUCUGGUAUUACACUUCUCCUUUCUCUAGUGGAUCUUCUUAAUAGCACUGAUUUUUCAAGAGGAAGAGUUUAUUUUAGGACAUUGUCUUGAUUUGUUAUGUCAUGAUCAAGAUCAGGAAUGAGAUCCUUAACAAGAUCAAUAACAACUGUGGGAAUAUUGACAUAUUCUUCUUUAAAGACAAGCUCUCUUACUAUAUUUUCUUCCCCAAACUCGAUAUCCUCAAAGAAUCAGGCAUUUUCUAUCUCAAAAAUUGAUUUAGUUGCGGGAUCAUAAAACUUGUAAUCCCUGGAUCUUUCAGAGUAUCCAAUAAAAUAACAACUAACCGUUCUUGAGUCCAGUUUCCUUUCAUUUGACCUAUAAGGUCUUGCCUCAGUUGGACAUCCCCAAAUAUGUAAAUGCUUUAACCUGGGUUUUUUUCAGGUCCAAAGUUCAUAAGAAAUUUUGAUAGUUACUUUAGUUGAAACUUUGUUAAAGUAUGUGCUGCAGUUUUAAGUGCUUCUCCUCAGAGUAACUCUGGUAAGAUAGAAUGACAUAUCAUAUUUCUUACCAUGUCUUUAAGCGUUCUAUUUCGUCUUUCAGUUACACCAUUCAUAGUGGGUGAACCUGGCAUAGUGUAUUGUGGUGCGAUACUACAUUCCUCUAGAUAUUUAGCAAAUGGUUCUGGACGUUGUUCACUUGAACCGUUAUUCUACCAUAGUACUCAUCACCACAGUCAGAUCUGACGCUUUUAAUCCUUUUGUUGAGUUGAUUCUCAACUUCAACUUUAAAAUUUUUGAACACAUCUAGUGACUGUGAUUUUUCAGAAAUGAGAUAUAUGUAGUCAUAUCUUGAAAAAUCGUCUAUGAACGUUAUAAAAUAUUGUUGACCAUUCCAAACAGAUAUAGAAAAUGGUCCAUAAAUAUCUGUUUAUAUAAGUUCUAAGACGUCUAAGGAUCUAUUGAUUUCAAAUCUCCUUUUAUUAGUUUGUUUCCCCUUUAUACAGUUAACAUAAUCAUCAAAAUCUAUAAAAUUUAAGGGAUCGAGAAUUUCAUUUGACACAAGUCUUUCCAUUCUCCGUUUGGAGAUAUAUCCCAAUCUCUUGUGUCAUAAUGCAGCUGAAUUCUCAUUGGUUAAUUUUCUCUUUACUCCUCUAGUACUCAAAUGCAGAGAUUUAUUAACUGAGGUAAUUGUAUCAAUUAAAUAUAGAUUAUCGUAGUGCAUUAAAGAAUCAGAACCAACCAAUUUUGAAUCAUGAAACAAUUCAAAUUUUUCAUUUUCAAAUGAACAAAAAUAACCAAAUUUGUCCAAAGCAGAAAUAGAAAUUAAAUUUCGUCGAAAAGACAGUAUAACAAAUAUUUCAUUAAGAUCUAAAUAAAAUCCGGUCUUUAACAAUAAUCUAAAAAUUUCUAUUGCCUAAACUUGAACUGUUUUGCCAUCGUCCACGUAGAUAUAUCUUUCAUUAUGAUUAGGCUUUCGAUAAUUCAGACAACCCUACAUAGACACACUGAUGUGAGUUGUUGCACCAGAAUCUAAUCACUAUGUGUGUCUAGAUACCGAAAUUAAAUUAAUCUCAGAACAAACCAAAUUAAGAAGCAUACCUUUCUUAGUACACCAAGUGUGAUAAUUAGUGCAAUGCUUUUUUUUAUGUCCUUCAGCUCUACAGAAGAAACAAAUAUUCUUUCCCUGAUCAUCUGAUUUCUUUUAUUGUUUCUUUUGUGGCGCUGUACCUGCAACUCUUUUUUCCUUCUUUCUCUUAAGUCCUUUGUUUUUAUUAUUAGUGGUUGACAUCAGAUGGACACUUUUUGUCUGAUCUUGCUUUAAUUUUUUCUCUUCCUCUACACAGUGUGAGAUGAGUUCAUUUAAAGACCAAAUCUCCUUUUGACAGUUAUAACUCAUUUUAAACUGACUAAAUUAUGUAGGAAGAGAUAUUAAAAUCAAAUGCACUAGUAAUUCUUCAGAGAGUGUCAAUUUAAGUGCAUUUAAUUUUGAAGGAAGAUGCGACAUUUUUAUAAUAUACUCUCUGAUAUUGCCUUUAUCACUAUAUUUUAUUGAAACUAGGCGUGUCAAGAGCGUACUAAUUUCAGUUUUUUUGUUUUUGACAAACCUUUUUUAAUGUCCUGAAGGAACUCUUUAGCGGUUACUGUUAUUUCUGACAUUGUUCCUCUGAAUGCUUUUGGAACAAUCUUUUUAAUGAUCAUCAGACACAAGCGAUUUGAUCUCUCCUACCUUUCCUUAUCUCUCUUUUCAUCAGAGGUACUCUGAUCUGUAAGAGGUGGGGGAGAGUCAUCCCUUAACGCAAGGUCGAGAUCCAUUACUUCAAGUAUUAUCAAGAGAUUUUUUUUCAGGAUUUGAAAUUUGUGUCGUUCAACAUAGGAAUAUUAUUGAUAUUGAUAGUAAUAUUUGUAAGAUCAUUUACAACUGAACAGAAAAACAUAAAAUAAUUAAAACUAUGCUCACUUAAACCAAAUAAUAAUAAAUUCAAAUAAUGAUAGCCCAUCUCAAGAUACCAAUGUUCCAUUAAUAUUUUAUUUUUGGACAAAAUAUUAACUUCCAAGUGAUAUGUUGGCGCAGUAAUAAACACUGACAAUAAUAACAUGUCAAAAAAUAAAUUUUCCUUUCGGCUAAUUUAUAAUUCACAUGUAAAAAUCGAAUAAUUCAUAUUUUAUAAUUCACAUGUAAAAAUCGAAUAAUUCAUAUUUUAUAAUUCACAUGUUUAUUACUAUAAGUGCACAUGUAACUUUAUUAAAUAUUGACCUUUCUUUGGGCCAAUCAAUAUUCAUAAAAUCACAAGUGCUCAACUGGUUAUAUUCUAAAAUAAAUUAAUUUCACAAUAGAAGUCACUUUGGUGGCAUAUUAUUUCAAUUAAUUUAUUUCAAAAAAUAUAUAAUCAUACCAAAAUUCAAAUUUAAAAUUAUACAAAUUAAACAAAAAUUUUGAUCAAAGUCAACUUUGGUUAACUCUGAUCAAAACAUGGUCAAAUAUGGUCAAACCAAUCAAAUCUAGUAAAACCAAUCAAUUGGAUCAAGACUUAUUUGGACCAAAAGUCAAUAUCCAUAAUUUGAUCCAAAUUUAUCAUGCAAGGCUAAAAUAUUUCUUGAAGUCCAUAAUGUUUUAUAAAACUGUAUAUUUAGUGGGCCAAACAUAUGGACUUUUGUUGGGUUUAAAUGUCUUGUUUAUCUUUAUUAAGGUUAACUUACAUUAGAGAAACCCUAAUAUCCUUAACAUAAAUGUAUUAAAAAUCAAUUUGCACAACAAUGAAUUGGCUAACUAAAAAUAAUGAAUCUGUGCAAUAAACAAUGAAUCAGCCAAGUAAAAAUAUCAAAGCCAACAACCAAGGUUUGACUAUCGUGGGACCUGACCGAAGGCAUAAAGACACAAUUCACGUCAAUCAACGUCACGAAUUGACAUCUAAGCGAUCAAUGUUGUGAGCAUAGAGACUGAGACGCAACGUUGGAACUUUUUUUUUUUUGUCGCAACGAUAGGAUUCUUAUAACCUACACUAGUCUAAUCUCGGGGGAAGGGGGAGGGGAUUCGAUGUGAGUAGAAACUUCAUCGAAUAUGGUCAACGAAAACCAUCACAUAUUGUGAUAAUUUUGGUGGGAGGCAAGAAUCGAACCCUUGACCUCCCAACACCACCAAGCCUUAGAAGGUUGGGUAGUAACGCUGGAACUUGAUUCAUGUUGUUCACAAAUUCACACGAUAAUCAUUAAGAAAGCACAUGAAUGACUUUAGCAAACAAGUAGUCUAGAUUCAUUGGCCAUGCAGCAAAACCAAAAGUGAUUGCAAUUCUUUUACGGAUUAUAAAAGCCAAAACACGAAACUGAAACAUACAACCAAAUCAUGAACAUGACUACAACCACAGAACAAAAUUGUUUGCCGUGAAAAUCAAAAACUAAAUUAAUCAUAGUUUUUUUUUUAAUAAAACUAUGAAUUACUAAAUCCAAACUAUUUCCUAAUAAUCAACCAUAUCCGGCUCUAAUACCACUUCUUAGGGUGGUUAUCUAAAAUUAACCUUUGGUGAAUACCAUCACCUAUUAAACCCAAAAUCUAUAUGGCGAUUAUUAAGAAAUAAAUUAACAGUGAAAUAGCGGAAGCGCACCUGGAUUCAUAUCGACAAACUGAUAUUUGAAUCUCCAAAGAUAUUGGGGUAGUCUUCCAGAUCAACAUGUAUUUGCCAAUUCUUGAGAGAGCCCUUUAGUAUCUCUUUGGUAUCUUUCCUGACGAUGGGAUAUCAGAGAAAAGCUAUUUUUUGUGGUACUAGAAAAUAUGACAAAUAGAAUACGUGUGACUUGGGGACCAUAACCCUAUUUAUAGAUAACAAUCCUCUUACCCUUUGGAUCCCUAUUUCAGUCCAUCAUAGAAAUAGAAAAUAUCCUUAAGUCUCUACACAUUAAAGAUCCACACCCUAUUAGAUACAUUAAGUCCAAACCAUAUUUGAUCACUUUAAUUGGAUUCAACCUUAUUUGACAGUUUGCAACCCAUAAUUAUUCACAUAUAAGUCCAACGUUGGAUUAAGGAUCCAACAUACUGCUCUUUGCAAAUGUUUUGCAUGCAAGACUUGCAUGAUUUCCAUUCUCCAUGGGGAAUCCAAAUAAGUUCUGUUGAUGUAAAAACUGCUUAAAUAAGCCGAUGGUGGGAGUCACAUGCUGCUAAAGGAUUGUAAAUGCACAACUACCGAAUUGAUUAUCAAGAAUUUGGUUAAUUGGCAAUCAAUGAUCUUUCACAAAAUUUACCAUACCAGUUUAGUGAUCAUCAUCCUCGAAUUUCUUGUUGAGAUUUGAAAAGUCAUUAAUCCAAGGUUAAUGAAGAUUUGUUCAUGAGAAAUUAGUUGGUUAUCAAUAAUAGUAUCAAUAAAAGCAAAUAAACCUGUGGUAUUGGAAUCAAAAUUCUUUAUCACCACAACAGAACAAUGCGUACAUCCAAUAAUCAUGACUGGAAAAAAAAACCCAAAUAGUUGAGAAACUAAACAAAUUUGUACUUACUUAGGGCUGAUAUGUUGACUUGGGACAAAAUUUGUUUUCUCUGAUUCAGUCCUGUAGUUCCCAAGGAACGUGUAUAUGGCGACUACAAUCCUGCAGUUUCUGCAGAGUUUGGAAUUUUUAAGUUUUAAACAUUAAUCUCUUUUGUUUCGAACACAACGGUGAGAAAAAAAAAAAG
This 67748-nucleotide long non-coding RNA is filed under the name Coffea arabica (coffee). Its description in RNAcentral is "long non-coding RNA (CARA_LNC000515)". Lineage: Eukaryota; Viridiplantae; Streptophyta; Magnoliopsida; Gentianales; Rubiaceae. The record is from RNAcentral.